CAAUAUAAUGUUCCUGCUUUUGGACUGGACCCUAUGGCAUAGUGAACACACCAUAGGGAACUAUAUAUAAAUAAAAUUUCAGUGGUAAGUGUCCUAUCUAUGUCUUAUUAAAAAGUCUUCGAUAUCUAUUAUCAUAUAUUAUAAUUAUCUUCAUUUGAUAAUUCAUCAAAAAGAAAUUAAUACUAAAAUUUAUAAAAAAAAUUUUAAAUUUAAAAAAAUAUAAUUUUUAGGAAAAAUUUUAAAUAUCAUUUCUAUAGUUUCAUACUUUUUUAUUUUCUAUGAUUUAGGCCCAGUUUGGAAAUUCCUAAAAACGUUGCAUAGUUAAAUUUUGCUAUGGCGGUAGGAAAAAUAUCCUAUGAAGUGUUUGGGAGAAAAAAAAGUAACGUAAAUUUUGGAGCAUAGUUAAACUAUACUCUAAAAAAUAGAGUAAAAGUAUAAUCCACUCUAACCGAAGAAAAAAAAAUUUCACCAUUCUUAAGCUCCCUUCUUCAAAAAAUGCAUAAGUUCUAAUUUUUAAAUUUCAACAUAAAAUUUUAAAUUUCAAAAUAAAUUUUAAAUUUCAAAAUAAAUUUUAAAUUUCAAAUUUUAAAUUUAAAUUUCAAAUUUUAAAUUUUAAAUUUUAAAUUUCAAAUUUUAAAAUUUUAAUCAAAUUUUAAAUUUUAAAUUUUAAAUUCUAAAUUUCAAAUUUCAAAUUUCAAAUCUCAUAGUUCAAAUUUCAAAUUUUAAACUUUAAAUUUUAAAUUUAUUUUUAAAAUUUUAAAUUUUAAAUUUUAAAUUCUAAAUUUCAAAUUUAAAAUUUAAAAUUUAAAAUUUUUAUUUUAAAUAAAAUUUAAAAUUUAAAAUUUUAAAAUUUAAAUUUCAAAUUUCAAAUUUCAAAUUUCAAAUCUCAAAUCUCAUAGUUCAAAUUUCAAAUUUUAAAUUCAUUUUUUAAAUUUCAAAUUUCAAAUUUCAAAUUCUAAAUUUCAAAUAUCAAAAUUUAAAUUUUUUAUUUUUUAUUUUAAAAUUUAAAAUUUAAAAUUUUAAAAAUUAAAUUUAGAUUUUAGAUUUUAUAUUUUAAAUUUUUAAAUUUUAAAUUUUAAAUUUUAAAUUUUAAAAUUCAAAAUUUCACAUUUCACAUAUCAAAUUUUUAAUUUUAAAUAUUUUUUGAAAUUUUAAAUUUUAACUUUUAAUUUUAAAAUUUAAAAAAUCCCGUGAAAUUGCACAAUGCGUAUGCAAACAGUUUAAAAAUUGAAUCUGUGGAAUUUUUUAGAGUUGCAGGAUUCUCUAUUUUAUCUAGACCAAAACCACAGUUUAUAAAUUCCGCAGAAAUUUUUUAAUGUGCAUCCAAACAGGCCCUCGUAAUUUUAUUUUUCUCUUUUUAUUAUCUCAUCUAUUAAUUUUUUUUAUUAAAUUAGUGAUAAAGUUAAAACUAAAAUAUACUAAAGUGAAUAUUCAAUAAACCUAGGUGAGGUAUGGUGAAGCUAACGAAAAGAAAAAACCAAAAUAACAAAAUACUAAAUUAAUCUAUUUUAAAUUACAUAAUAUUAAAAUAAAAAAAUAUGAAACUACGGCAAUGAUAUUUGAAGUUUUUUUUAAUUUUUAAACAGAGAAAAAUGAACAGAGACAUUGUUGAAGGGCUUCUUAAUGAAGCUUUUUCUAUUAUAUUAUAUAAUCUAUUAAAAUGUCAUUUAUUACUACAAUGUAGAGCAAUGAUUUUUCACCUACUCCCCCUCUAUAGACUCAUAAUCUCUGGAGGAGUCUAGAGCCUCUAAGGCCCUCCUAAAACUUAGGUAGACAAUAAUUGUUAGAGUGACAUUUAUCUCAACCUUAUCCUCAAAUCCUGCAAAAAGAUAAUCCCCCACUCUCUUUGCCCAUUAAUAGCAACUAGGGUCAAACCACCAUUGCAUAUUUGUGUAAAUUUUAUUGGGUUAGAAUUUUUUUUAUUUUUUUUGUACACAACAAUUUUUAUUAUAUGUAUAAAACUAUGCUUGGAUCUCCUUUUUAAACAAAAACAAAAAUACUUUAAAAGUGUACUAAUUGAUUGUAAAAAUAAAAAAAAUAUAAGUUUAUACUUCACAAUAAAAACUAUUUGAGUACCCAAAUAUAUACAUAUAUUUAUAUAUUUAGUGAGCUUAUAUUUAUGAUGAGUUGUGCUAGAACACUAUCGGCAGCAAACCGGCUCCAUAGCCACCCAUUUGUUUUCAAUGAUGGAGCCUUCGAAUUAACGAUCGGCACCGUUGAAUAUGAUCUAUACCACUUGAAGUAUUUAGAAACCAAAUUUCAAAUCUUUUUGAUAUCAUUAACCUAAUGAUCAAAAGGUUUCAAAAUUUAUAAUUUUAAUGGUAGAUAUGAGGUGUUUUCACGUUUAACGGUGUAAAACUAUCCAAAUCAAUUGAAUUUUGGUUAGAAAAUUCUUUAAACUAUUUAGAACAAGAUCUAUACUCUCGAUCUUGAUUAUAAAGUUUCUAUCAUCACUUUUUAGAAGAUAUUCAUUUUCAGCCGUUCAUUUUUACACCCACUUGAUGGACAAGAGAAUAAUAUCGGAAAAACAUGAAAUUUGAUUUCUAGAUAAUUUAAGUGGUAUAGAUCAUAUUCAACGGUGCCGAUCGUCGAUUCGAAGGCUCCAUCAUCGAAAAUAAAUAAGUGGCAACGGAGCCUAUUUGCUACCGAUAGUAUUCUAGCUCAACUCUAUUUAUGAUAAGACUUUCAAAUACUACCGUUGAGACUGUUUUAAAUUUAUAUGUUUUGCAUAAUAACUAACGGAUUAAAUUAUUUGAUCAUGUGAGCAGGUCCUAUCAAAUAUUUAUAACAAGGGAUUAAUUUUCAUGCAGGUCUCUAUAAACAUAGUAAAUGAUAAAUAUAUUUCUACAAAAUUCGACUUCCAUAUGUUGUUCUGUAAAAGUCUUAAUGUUUUCAAAUAUAUUCCUGCCAUUAGAAUCCGUUAGAAAAUUUUAAUUAAUCAUAGGUUAAAUAAUUAACCCUAAUUAGUUUUUGAUAUUUCUACCUCUCUUAUAUUAUAUUGCUAUAGCUUUUAGAGUGAUAUACUUGUGAUGGUAAAAUUGAAAAUAUAAAUAGUUCUCAAACGGUUAUUUAACGGUAAUAAAUCAGAAAGACAUAUUUGAAAACAUUAAAAUUUUUACAGAAACAACAUAUAAAAGUUAAACUUUAUAGGAAUAUAUUUGUCAUUCACCAUAUUUACAGGGAUCUGUAUGAAAUUAAUAAAGUAUCUAAAUUUACAUACAUACAUCUUGAAGUCAGAUGUUUAAAUUUUCAUGUAUUCAAAUUUAAGACUUUGUAUUCUGAACUAUAAUGUUGAUAUGUACAGAUACUUGGAAGGAUUCAUCAAAGCAUGCGCAUGCGAGAGAGAUGAGAAAAUUAAGAUGCCACAAGAGAAACAAUGUAGGUGUACUUCAAAAUGAAUACUAAAUAAUGAAAUAAUAAAAAAAAAUUAAAAAAAAUGAUAUAAUAGUAAAAUAAAAAGCUAAAGUACAAAAAAUAAAAUAAAAUAUUCAUUGUUUCAUUUCUACGGAAAUUGUGUUGGUUUAAAUGGGUCAGCAUCCAAUCAUGUGGCAGAAAGCUAUAUUGAAUCGAGUCAUAUUCGAAAUUGCGUGAGGCUGGAUUGGUCGAGUCAUGUUCCAAGUGGCGUGAGGCUGGGUGGGCCGAGUAACAAUUGAAACUCGUGAGCGUUGUAUGCGUACGCUUUAAGUGAAUUGAUUGUAUAUUUCUAACAGACCAAGCUUUUGGGAUUAAUGGUUAGCGCCAACGAUCCGACAAGUGACAUCAGAGCCAGAGGUCACGGAACAAGUGGUAUCAGAGCCAGAGGUCACGGAUUCGACUCUCGCAUGCUCAAAUAUUUGCAGGUGCUAGAGGGAGAAUUGUUGGUUUAAAUGGGCUUGUAUUCUGUCCUGUGGCUAGAGGUUAUGUUGGGUGGCAUGAGGCUGGGUGGGCCGAGUUAUAAUUGAGACCCGUGUGUGCUGUAGCUAUACACUUUAAGUGAAUUGGCUGCGUAUUUCUAACAGCGACAAAUUAUACAUAUAUUCUCUCUUGAAAAAUAAUUAAAAAAAUACAAUAAAAAUACAAUAAAAACUGAUACUUUAUAAUGUAUGUCUCAAAGUUGGGUAACAUUUCCCCUCAUUUGAAUACACACAUUAAUAUACUACGAAUUUCUAGAACUAUUUACCUAUCUAGCCUCUUUACAAAAAAAUAUUUCCUAUCUAGCCUUCUUUUGAAAAAUAUUCUCCAUCUAGCCUCAUUUUCAAAGAUUAGAGAAAAAAAGAGAAAUUAAUACCUUUAAUAUAUAUUAAGGGGUUAAGUGGGGGAAAUUAUCUUUUUCUCUCUCCUCUCCUAUUUCCCGAGAUCCCUUCUCACUCUCUAAUUUUUGCGUAUAAUUUAUCUCAUAUCGAUUUAUUUCAAAAUAGAAAAUUUUUAUAUAGCGCAUCAACCAAUUCCAAUCUUUUUAUAUUUUGAUGGAAAUGUUAUGCAUGGUUCGGAAGGAGUUGAUUAUAAUGGUCCUGAUCCAAAACUAUUUAGAUUUCUCGUAUUUUAGGUUUUAAUACAUUAAAACAUAAAAUUUAUAGGCCGAAUGGGAUCAAGAUUAUUUUGAUAUAAAAAUUAAUGGGAGAGGAGAGAGAAAAAGAUAAUCUCCCCCACUUAACCCCUUAAUAUAUAUUAAAGGAAUUAAUUUCUCUUUUUUUCUCUAAUCUUUGAAGAUGAGGCUAGAUGGGGAAUAUUUUUCAAAAGAAGGCUAGACAGGAAAUAUUUUUUUGUAAAGAAGCUAGAUAGGUAAAUAGUUCGAAUUUCUACGUGCUAUACUCCCACUAUACCCAAAAGUUACGACGCGCAUCACUCAACCAAUUAUAAUACGACACGUAAGCAAAUUAUUCGCGGUGCGUGGACGCGGCGCACCGCGAACGUUCGGAUUACAUGACCGGUGUUCUGGCCGAACGCGCGAUCUCGGGCCCCGCGGUGGGGCCCGCGUCCCCCCACCUCCGAAGGAAUUCUAUACUGUCACACUUACACCAUAUCACCAAUAAUAAGCAAAUCACAUUCCUUCUUUUUAAAUAUAAGUACAAUAAAAAUAUUUUUUUACAAUCAUGAUAGAACAUAUAUUCUUAAAAGGAUUAAUUUUAUUGAAUUGUUACGCCAAGUCACUAAUAUACCUAUUGCAUACUAGAAUUUUUCCCACCCAAGUGGCCCAGUGGCGCGUUCGGGGGAUGCGCUGACAACUCUACGCGUGUACGGCCGGAUCGGCGUCAUCUGGAAUCGAGCCCGCCCCCCAAUCGCCGCCGUCGCGAGGGGACACGUGGAGGGCGGGUGCGGAUCCCGAGGCGCGUGCGCGUGGGCGUCGCAGUUGUUGCGGAAUAAAAGGUCGAGGAAGGACGGGGCGAGGCGAUAUUGAUGUUGAUAUUCUCACCCCACACCAACCCCAAAUUCACCCUUAUGUAAAUUUUUUAAGUGUAAAAUGCACUAUUGGUCCCCAAACUAUGAGUUGGUGAUACUUUGAUCCUCGAACUUUAGUUUAAUAUAACUUUUGAAUCGCAUUAUGAAAUGCGUACGUGAUAAUUAAAAUGCAACUUUACUUUUAUAUCAAUGAUGAUAUAUAAAUAUUUAAUCAACUAACUAGGGUUGUGAUAUUUAAUUAUAAUAAUUGUGAAAGUCCGUCAAAAUUAUAAUAAAUUAACGUAUGGGGACUAAAAUAUCACCCUAUUUUUAAAUUAUUUUAAUGGAUAAAGAAAAAAUGGAUAAAAUUGGCACGUAAAUAAUUAUUAAGCACAAACUGGUAAUUCUACAAAGUAAAGAGGAAGUUAAAUUAGUAAAUGUGAGGAUCAUUAUAAUUAGAAAAAAAAAAAUAGGGGAUCUAGUUUUAAAGAGUUGAUUUAACUUUAAAAAAUAUAAUGAAUUAAUAAUUAUAAACUUUUUUUUUUUUUUCAGAAGUUAUGGAUAGUCCUUAAUUUUCAAAUCCUCUUUUAAAAGUUAUUAUUAUUGGUAGUCCUUAAUCUUUUAAAAUGGAUAAUUUAAAUUAUUCGAAAAGUUAGAGCUUGAAUACAUUGGUCGUUGGAUCUCAGCUACCAAACAUUAAGUUCUUAAGAUGGUACGCAAGGACGAUCAGUGGACUUUUGAUACUUUAAAGAUAAAUUAUAAUUUUAGUCUUCAAUUUAAAGAGCAUGUGAUAUUUUAAUUCUUAAAUUUUAAUUUAUUAAUAUAUUAUAAUUUUAUUUUUAUUUAUAAUUUACAAAUCACAAAAUAAUAAAGUAAAGGAGAAACUUCAAAUACCCCAUAUGGUUUCGCUCUUUCUCACUUUAGUAUUUUGUGGUUUAAAGUUUAUCAAGUUAGUACCAUGUGGUUUCGCACUUUCUCACUUUAGCACCCUGUGAUUUCGCACUUUCUCACUUUAGUAUCUUGUGGUUUAAUAUUUCGUUAAAUUAUAUACCCAAAAAUGAAUAAUAAAAAGAGAAAAUUGAAACCACGUGGUACUAACACAGGGUACUAACUUGAUACACUUGAAACCAUAGGGUACUAAAGUGAAAAAGUGUGAAAUCACAGGGUACUAAUUUGAUACGCUUUAAAUCACAUGAUACUAAAAUAAGAAAAUACGAAACCACAUAAGGGUAUUUGAAGUUUUUCCUAAAGUAAAUAAAAUAGACUAGUAUGUAUUGUAUUUUAUAUCACUCUAUAGUUUAUCGAGUAUAUUACUUUACUAUAGUUGACCUGGUACCCGUCAUAAUUUUUUUCUCAAUAGCAAAAGUAUAUUGAAUUGCACAAAUUUUAGACAUUAUUUAUCUAAUAUUUAAGUGGUUUCAAAAUAGGGAGGCAAAUGGAUUUGGAUUGGUGGAGCUUCCGUCCCCAUCCAUUUGAAUGGAACAGUAAGUGGGGUUCAAAAAUAAAUUAAAAAAUAAUAUGCCUUCAAUCUAUUUUGAUCGGCUAAAAAAACUAAGCGAAAGGUGGAGAACAUAUUCUUUCCUUUAAUUCGCCAAAAAAACUAGCUCUAAGUCGGACCUGUCCUGAAUAGAACGGUAAGUAAGUGCAAAAAAUAGAUAAAAAUCAACCCGCCACAUGUCCAUCUCGAUCUGUCCAUACAGGGCGGAAUAUAAGGGAACUCCUCUCGCCCUCAGCUCUGUCCCGUUUAUUUUUCUGUUUGAAACAAUGGCUAUAUACGGUAAAUUUGAGGCCACUAAUUGCUAGAUAAAUUAUAUCAAAAAAUUAUAAAAUUUAAGUUUAAUAAAAUUUAUAUAGUUUAGAUUAUAUUUAACGAUGUUCGAUUCGGAUGCUCCAUCGCAUGGACGAAUGCAAAAAUAAACAAUUUUAUUUGCUUCCAAAAUUAUUAUAUUCUGUAUUAUAUUUAAGGGUGGGAUGGGUCCUCCCCUCCCCCACUUUUUUCUUGGUGAGUUGGGGGAGGAUUCUGGGCGAAUUAAUUUUCUUUUAUUUUUUAUUUUCACUUAUCGUUUCAUUUAGGAUUAGUCGAAAUGAAAGUGUAUUUGUGACGGUAUAUCUCACCUACCAUCCUAUUAUCGCAGUGGAGUGGAUUCGAGCAUAUCUGGAUUCGUUUGCAUCUCUUAAGGUAAAUUAAUCGCCUAGUGGGGAGCUUCUUGACGACGCUUUACCAGAGAACUUCUGAUUCACUGUCACUUGUUAGUUUUACCUCGGUUUAAUAAUUCGCUGUAUAUUUUCUAAUACUAAAACACCCAAAAAAAUUCUAAUGCUAAAAAAAGCUUAUAAUAUUUGGAUAGACGUCAUAAAAUAAAAUUGAUACAUAAUAAUAAAAUUACUUCACUAAAUUUUGCCUUGUCUUUUUCCGAAAAGUAAUCAUGCCGGGAUGUGACCACCUCUUUUAUCUUUUUAGUAUUGAUUGCUCACGUUCCAAUAGGGGUAGUAAUUUAGCUCGUUGUUCACCAAUUAAUUUUUGUUCGGCUUAAAAUUAGCUUAAGAUCAAAUCGCAUAUUUAGUUAACGAGUCGAAUAAGAGCUAAAUUUUUCAACUUAUUUAAUAAACAUGCCGAACACGAGUUGGGAUCAGUUCAAUCGUAUUUGGCUCGAUAACAGCUCGAAUAUAUAUAUUUUAUACGUAUAUUAUUUAUAUUUUUAUAUAUAUAAAUAUAUAUAUAUAUAAAAUACAGAUUUUUAUUAUUUAAUUUUUAGCAUAAUCUAAAUAUAAAAUUCAACUCAAUUAUAAAAACGCCUAUUUAUAUAUAAAAUUUUAACUAUUAGAUUAAAAUCAAUGAGUAAGAUUCUAUAAAUUUAUUUUCUAUACAUCUAUUUUUUUAUAUUUUUAAUUUAUUAUUCAUGAGCUAAUUUAUAUUUGACUCAUUAAUAAACGAAUCAAAUACGCGUUGAAUUUUUCGUGGUUCGUUAGCACCCCUACAUCAAAUACAAAGGUAAAAAAAAUUAUUUAAAGAGAAUGUGAAAUAGAUUUUUUAGCAUAUUUAAUUUCAACAUUGCAAUUCUGACAUUUCCCGUCUCUUCACGUCACGCCGUGUCCGCCAAUGGCAUCCAUUUAUGUGUAACUAAAAUUUUAAAUUAAUAACUACAAAACUUUUAAUUUAUUUAAUUUAAAUUAUUUAAAUAUAAUUUACCUAUUUAAAUUAAUUAUUUAUUUUAAUAAAUUUAUAGUCGUAAAAGUUAUAUAAAAUAUAUUAAUUAAAUUUAUAAAAAUAAAUAAUAGACUCGAAUUCUAAAAUUAAAAUGUUAUUUACCGACUCAAAUCAAAUAAAUUGAAUGGCUGAAUAGCAAAAUCAAAAUUUUGAAAUAUCGAAUAGAAAAAUCCAAAUGGUUCUUAAUUCAUAUAAACUUUAUACAAUUUUAUCAAAAAUAAAAUAUUUAAAAUAUUUAUUUUUAUAUUCGUGGUGAUUUUAAAAAUGUAAAUGUUUUAAAAAUGUAGAAGAGCUGAGCAGUUUUUAUCACAACUUUGUACUAUUGAAUGGUAGAAAAUUGAAAACUUUUUUGAGUUUUUGAAACAAACUUGUUCCACAAAAAAGUUGGAAUAGCAGUAUGAGAUUUAUACUGGAUUAUAUCAGUUUAUUUUAGAAAUUUAAGAAUUAUUGUUUUCGAAUAUCAAACACAAUAUUUGAAAACAAAAAGGGGAAUAAGGACUUAUUCCCCUUCUUGUUUUCGAACCAAACGCAAUCGCUAAGGUCCAAUUUAGAAUUCCAAUAUCUAAUGUUAAGCAUACACUUUUAUAUUUUAGAAUUAGUGUCAAAUUUAAAAGUAUUUUUAAUUAUAUCUUCCACAAUGCUAUCAAACUCCAAUAAGAAUUGCCAUGGGAGAAAUAAGUGAUUAUUUACUUCUAUGCUAAUGGUUCUCACAAUCAUUUUAUAGUAUUAAAAAAAUAAGGAAAAAUUUUCUUUAUACCCUUCUAAAAGCAUCUAAUUUCAUAAAUGCCCUUUUAAAAAUUGAAAUAUCAUGUAUACCUCCUCAAAUUUAACAAACUUUCAAAAAUACCCCUGCCAUCAAAUCUCCAUCCGUAUUAAAAUUAAUAAUAUUUAUAUUCCAACUUUACCCCACUUAAUUAUUCAUUGGUCAAUUAAUAAUUUUAUUUCAUAAAUACCCUCUUUUAUAUUUCAAAAUUAAUUAAAUUCUAUCUAGACUAAAAAUUUAGUAAAAUUCAAUUGAUUUUAGUUUAAAAAAUUAUUCAUUUUAAUUAAAUAAAUAUUUCUAUUUGGAAUAAAUUAUAGUUAAAUUAAAUUUCAUUUUGCUUUAAUGUCAGAAUGAGAAGAUAAUUUAUUUUAGUUAUAUCUACUUUUUUUACUACAUCGAUUGUAAAGUAAUAAAUUUUUUUUAUUUGACUACUUAAUAUAGAGAAAAUUUGUUAUUAUGAAUACAUUACAACUAAGAGCAUUAGUAUAAAAUCCGACCUCAAAUAAAAAAAAUAGUUAUAUUAUGAAAGGACAAACUAAAUUCUUGUAAUCAACGGACUUUACAUAAACCAAUAAUUGUUUUAAAUAAUAAAUUGAAAAAAUUUUAGAUAAUGAAAAUUUUUCACAAAUUAAGAUAAUUAUUCCAUUAAAUUUAAUACCUUUGACUAAUUUUCAGUUGAAACUAGCAUAAAUUCAUUUAAUAGUUAAUUAUUAUUAGCUAAUUAACCUAUUAAUUGAAUUUCUUUAUUAAUUGAUUAUAAUAUUUGAAAUCUGAAUGGACAAAGAAAAUUUUUUAAAAAAUGGACCACGUACAUUUAUAUGCCCCUCAACAGUUUAGGGGCAAAAUGGAUAAUUUUAUUCUUAACCUUUAUUAUAUCAUGGUAUAACUAAGAUUAAAAUGAGUUGAGGGUAUUUUUGAAACAAAGUAAAUAUUUGUAGGGGCAAUUUUGAUACUUCAAAUUAUGUAAGGGCAUCUACGAUAAUUUUGAACUUUUCAGGGGUACGAAUGAAAUUGCCCCAAAAAAUAAAGAUGUUCUUAAAUUUUUUGGAUUUUCUAUAACAUGAAACUAAUGCUUUCAGACGCUACAAAUGCUAACUAACUAGAAAGCAUAAAUCAAGUGUUUUUGGUGAUGCAAAUUCUAAUUUAAUAGGUAAACUAUAUGGAAAAAAUUUUGAAAUUUAUUUUUUAGAAACUUUAAAUUUCUAAAUCAAGUAAUCUAACGGAGCCAAUCGUUGAUUCGAAAGUUUUAACAUUGAAAAUAACCCAUCAUGAUUCUAAAAGCAUACAAGCCUAGCUCAUAAUUUUUUGAUACUUUUUAAGAUCAUCUUUUUGCAAUUUUUUUUUCCCGAAUUUGUUAAGUUGAAUCAGCUCGAUAAACUGGCAUAAACUUUCCGAUUAAAAAGGGCGUUUGGUUUGAUGUAAUCAUAAAUACAGUAGCAUUCGAAAUACAUAAAAUUAUUAGAAAUGUAAUAUUUUUUGUAAUUGAGAAUGUUGCAAUUUGAUUGUUUUGUAGUUGAAAGUUGUAUGGCCAAUUUUUAUUGCCUUACGUGUAUGCAUAAAAUAAUAAGAAUAUUCUUAAAAAUAAAUUUUUUUAUUUUUUAUUUAGUCUUUAUUUGGGAUUACGUAGAAAGUACGUUAUAUACUAUGAGAAAGGACGAUCAGAAAAUACCUUUUUAUUUUCGCACGUAUUAUUGUGUUUCAUAUAUCAUGAUUAUUUAGUUACGAUAUAUUUUCUGCGGUCCCAUUGAAAAAAAUAUAAGCAUAUUCGUAUAUACUUUUUCCUUAAUUCUAUUUUAUAUAAUAGUGUUAUAUAAAUCACAAUACCAAACUAAAUCUUAAUAUAAAUACAUAAAAUAAUUUUUAUAUUAUUUUACUCUCUUAAGUUACUGUAUCUCUAACUAUACUAAUUUCAGAGUAGUAGUUUGAGAUAUAAUAUAAUUGAGCCCCAACUAUAGAUAAGAUUUUUUUAAACCUAACUAUAAUCAUACUUUUAUUUAAUUUAAUUUAAUAUAACAUGAAAUAUAAACAAUCAAACAGUUUUUAAAUGGGCAUGCCAAAUCUUGAAAAUAAUAAUUUUAUGAAGAAGAUCAAAAUAUGAGACAACAAAUACAAUAUUAUAUUUAUGUACACUUAUUAUUAUACGAGCGCAUUGGUCUUAAUUAAUUAACAAUUUUGAUUCUAAAGUACAUAAUAAGCGGUUUUGGACCAAACCACCCUCUCCUUUAACCCAAAAAAUAAUAAUAAUAAUAAUAAUAAUAAAUUGCUCUCUCUCUCCUCCUUUUAUACAACCCCUUGGUUUCCAAAACCAGUACUACUACUACACCAACUCCCACAACCCAUUUUUCAUAGUGGGGUGAGUGAGGUAGAGGAGGGGGAAACUAAUUUAAAGGAGCAAUUUUUAUUUGAUUUUUGAUCUCAAAAUGUGAUUUUUUUUUUCCAUCUAAUUUUGGGUGUUUCCUUCAGAAAAAAAAAAUCCGAUUUUGGUGUCUCUUUUUGAUUGAUUUGGGUGGGGGUUUUGCAUGUGGAAUUUUUAUGGAAAAAACCCAUGUUGGAAAACUGAGAUUGGUAGUAUUCAGAUGCUCUUUUCUCUUCUUUUUUUUUGUGGUUCUAAUUCAUGAACAUUUUGAGGUAUUAUAAUACCCUCUUCUUUUCUUUUCCCCCUAAAAAAACAAUUUUGGGUUGUGUGUAGUGUCCCCCCCCCCCUCUUUUUGAGGUGCUUUGUGUUCCCUUUAAAGGGUUUUUUUUUUUUUUUCUUUUUUUUUUGGGGGUGCUUGAGGAAGGAAAUAGUGAAGCUUACAGGUCUCAAAAGCCCAAAUCUUUCUCUGGUGAGUCCUUUUCCCUUUCCCUUUUCUUUUUCUCUCUUUUUUUUUUUUUUUUCCUUUGGGGUGUGUUCUGUAACUUAAUCAUCUUAACCUCAUCCUCUAUAUCUUCCUCUCCUUUCUCCAUUAAAGAAGAUUUGCAACAAGUUUUUUUUUAAAAAAAGUUCCUUUUUUUUUCUUGUUUUCUUGGUUCGUAGACACUACUAUUACUAUCAUCAUUAUUAUGUUGAGGAAGAGAUCAAGAGCAGUAGGAGGGAGCAGCAGCAGCAGCAGCAGCAGCAGCAAACAAGGCAUAGUAAUGUCAGAACCCCUCCCUCUAAACCAAGAAAAAUUCAAGCCCAACAAGCUCAAUCCCUCUUCUCUCAGACCCCAAAACCACCCCAAACCCCCCCAAGAUCACUCCUUUAUUGGAGCCCACAUCCAAGGGCCUUGUUGAUGCACUCACCACUAGUGAUGAUGAUCACAACUUCCCCCCACACCAUUCCCCCAUCUCCUCCCAUGAGGCUAGGAGGAGGAGGAUGGUCCUCUUCGGAUCGAAGCUCAAGAUCCAAAUCCCCUCCCCGAACCCUCCGACCCCGUCCCCGCGAUCCCCGAUCGAGUUCGGCUUCAAGAACAAGGACUCACAGCUGGCCCUGCUGUCCCCUGCCCAGAGGGCCCUCCGCGGCGCCGCCUCCGCCAGGCUCGUCGCCGCCAACUUGGUCGUGAGCGAUUUGGAGCUCUCCGAGGACUACACCUGCGUGAUCUCGCACGGCCCGAACCCCAAGACCACCCACAUCUUCGAUAACUGCAUCAUCGAGAGCCGCUGCUGCGGCUACACGAAUGAGAGCGAUCUCGCGGGGAGCCGCGGCGGCGGCGGCGGCGGUCUCUUGAGCUCUUGCCAUGCAUGCAACAAGAGGCUUGGGCAAGGGGAUGAGAUUUUCAUGUAUAGGUUUGUGAUUCUCUCUCAUAAUUUUCAUUUGCAUAUAUCUUUCUUUUUCAACAGUACUGAUCGUCGAUUUGGAAUCUCUGCCGUAGCAAACAAAUCAGUAGUAACCCGAGUGGUUUAGUACAAUAGUAACCCAGCACAACUCUAUAUAUAUGUAUGUAUUUUCAAGGGUUAAUUUCAUACAGCUCUCUGUAAACAUAUCAAAUAGCAGAUAUAUAUAUAUCCUUACAAAGUUCAAGUUAUUAGAUUUAUUCCUUCAAAAGUCCGGUAACAUUCAUACUUGCCCCUUUGGUUUGGUACCGUUAGGUUUUUUUAACGGUGGGUGCAUAAAAUUACUAUUUUACCCGUACAAAUUUGUCCGUACAAAAAGCUAUCUUUCUUCCUCUCUCACCUUCGCCGUGGCACCUACGGCGUACUUUAUUUUUGCCGUGAUCGGAGGCCUCACCUUCGACAAUGCUGCCGCCGCAAGUCUUGCCGUCGCCAUGAAUAAAAUAGAAAGGGUGAGAGAAAUGACAGAACUCAACAUUAGAAUAUAAAGUAUAUAUUUGUAAGGGGUAAAAAGGUCAUUUUAACCCCUUAGCUAACUGUGGUUAAUUGUUUUAACUCAUGGUUAUCUAAAUUUUGGUAACAGAAAGAUAUAUUUGCAAAUGGAAGGACUUUUGGUGGAAUAAAUUUGAUAAUUUAAAUUUUGUAGGGAUAUAUUUGCUAUUUGAUAGCUUCGUAGGGAGCCAUAUGCAAUUAUCCCUAUUUUUAAUAUCUUAUUAGUGGAAAUUUUUAUUGGUUUGGGAAUUUAGGGUGGAUCAACAACUUGACCUGAAUUAGGCAAUAAUAAUUAAGGUAAAAAAUGCCAUUUUUGAAAUAGGCCCCUCUACGUUUUUGUUUUUGUCCAAACCCCUUCUUUGAUUCGAGUAAUUCUACUAAGUUCAGUUGAAUUUUUUUUGUUGAAUUUCAUGGCUCUAUUCGCUAUUAGGCGUAAGUGAUUAGAAUUAUUAAAUUUGAUGAAGUUGAGGAGGUGUCAAUAAAAGAAAUGGGGGGGUCUACAUGCAUUUUCAGCAAUUUUAAUUAUGAAAUGUGAUUCUUUUUCUGUGGCUUGUUAAUUUUCUUCUGAUCUGAUGCACCAAUCGUAAUUAUCAUAUUAUUUCGAUUGCGACACCUCAAUUCUAUGUCGCUUUUAUUAUUGUGAAUUCAAGCAUCAGUGACUAAUUUCUUGCUAUGUAGGAGGUCGAAUUCCUAUCCGCAAAACAUUUACGUGACAUUACCCGUGACAUUACCGAAAGCGGUCCCAUGUCCUUUGUAGUUAUCUUUUCUUCUUUUUUUUUUAUCCUCAUUUUUUGUGGUCCCCAGUUUUCGUAGAAACUUCAUUUUCGUCGAACUUUUUUUGCUUAUUGCAAUUGCGAAUAUAUUCAUCCAGAUAACCAUAGAAUGUGUCGCAUCGACGAUUUUAUUCAAAGUCGCGGUAAUUUUUGUUCCUGCUUCGCAGUAGUUAUUUCGAGAUCUAAACGUUAUGCUACUCACAAGUAAUUAGAUUGUGAUAUUCUAGUAGUUUUGAGUUAUGCCGCGCUUUUAACAUGUCAGAUGCUGUAACUUUUGCUUGCUUUUCCGUCGAAAUUUAGCAGAAUCCGACUCCGUAAACCAAAAUAACAAAGCAGGCAAAGAACUUUUUGAAAAUUCUAAGCACAUUGGACUGAUCAGUACCUGCUCUCGUUGUUUCUUACAGAGGCGAAAAGGCUUUUUGCAGCAGCGAGUGCCGCCACCAGGAAAUGAUCUUGGACGAAGCGAUGGACUAAGCAGCAGAAGGAAGUUGCUUCGUCGCAACGCGCUUCUGCUUCUCCUCCCCCUCCCCUUUUGCUGUAAAUUCGAGUGGGUUCAUAUUAUGGCCUUAGAUCCAAAUGGUUGGAAUAGAGAUUUCGAACAUCGGUUCGGAUUAUUAUUCGCAAAUUUUGCUGGUGAGUUAAAUAGUGAGGGUGCUGAGAUGAAAUGUUAUUGAAACCUGGAACUUGUUGAGAUCUUUAAGUUAUGGAAGAUGUUAUAUUUAACUCUCUGUAUUGUGUUAAAUUUGAGAAUGCGUAUCUAGCAGUUAUCUUCAUAAGAAAUUGUGGAGUGUGUCAGGUGCAGUCAAAAAAUAUCAAGCAAUAAUUACUAUAAUUUGACUGCACCUGACACACUCCACAAUUUCUUAUGGAAGAUGUUAUAUUUAACUCUCUGUAUUGUGUUAAAUUUGAGAAUGCGUAUCUAGCAGUUAUCUUCAUAAGAAAUUGUGGAGUGUGUCAGGUGCAGUCAAAUUAUAGUAAUUAUUGCUUUAUAUAUAUAUAUAUAUAUAUAUAUAUAUAUAUAUAUAUAUAUAUAUAUGUUGUCAUUAUCUGUGUGUCCUUGUUCUUAUCAAAGAGAGGAGCAUCAUCUUAUUAAUCAUAUAAAUUUUAGGAGGGGCCUCAAUAAUUAAGAACAUUUGAGGUGACCAUUAUAGAUAGUUUUAAUUACUAAUUAGAAACUUAGGGGCCAGUGUUUUGUUUAAUGACUAAUGGUUGGUAAUUUCUGCAGGUAAUGGUAAGAUGUUUUUGGUGUGAAGUAUAACAAAAAAAAUAUAAAUAUACUGUUUUUUUUAUUAACUUAAAUUUUUAGAAAACUAGGGUUGUUACAUAUAUUUUAAUAUUUGGUUUGUGUGUUAUUGUUGGAAAUGGAUGUGGGGAUUUGAUAACCAUAUUUGUUGUUAAUAAUAUGAUUGUUAAUUUGAGAUUUGUGGUUUGAUUUUUAUAUCCACUUUUAUAUAUUUUGUUACAAGUAAUUUAUGAAACUGCACACCAAUAUCUUUUCUUUUCUUUUUUUUUCAAAUUUUUAUGUAAUUAUUUGGUUUAGUUUCUGUAAUAGCUUUUCGUCUCUGCAAGGUAAUAGUUAGUUAAGUGGUUAAUAAAUAAAUAAAAAAUAAUAUUUUAUUUAUUUACAUUUAAUUACUAUUCAAAAUUUUUGUAUCUUUUUAAAUUUAAUUAUAUUAAGUAAAUUUUAGAAAAAAUAGAGAUAUUUAAAGAAUUUUUUUAAAAAAUCAAAAGAAAUAUUUUUAUCUUUUCUUCAGCUUUUUCGUUAAUAUUUUAUUAAACUAUGUAUAAAAACUUCAGAUAUCUUAUCUAGGUUUAUCGAAUAUUUAUUUGAGUACUCUUUAGUUUUAACUUUAUCACUGAUUUAACAAAAAAAAAUUGGUGGAGGAUAAUAAAAAGAGAAAAAUGAAACCACAAGGUACUAAAUUGAUACACUUAAAACUAUAGGGUACUAAAGUAAAAAAGUGUGAAACUAUAAGGGUGGUAUUUGAAGUUUUCCCAAAAAAAAUAUGGAGAGUUGAGGGUCUUUUCCAAAACGGACUAUAGUUUGAGGAGUACGGUGACAUUUUCAUCUUCCUUUUCCUCGCUAUCACGGGCCCAGCCCAUUUACUAAUGGUUAAGCCGUUCAUGGGCUAAAAUGGGCCUUGUCCUAAUGUCAAAUUUAGGCCCAAUUAUCUCUCGAAUUUACAAAAGCACGAAUCAUGAAACAAAUCAGUAGUUGCGUAUAUAUUAUAUAUAGUUAUAUAUUAUUAUACAUACAUUGAUAUAAAGUUACUGAGAAAAUUACACCGUACUUUUAUACUACAUAUAAGAUAAUGUGAAACUACUUUUUAUUUCUAAAAACUUAAGUUACUCAAAAAAACAGUUUUGUAGAACUAUAACUCAUAUUAAGGUUAUAAUCCUAGCACUUCUCAAAUAAAUAAAUAAAAAAUAAAUAGAUUACACGUUUGGUCCCCAGAUCGUGAGGUGUGGGACGAUUUAAUCCAAAUAAACUCAAGUUACAAAAUAAAAUCAAGCAUAUACAGUAGUGUGCAAUUACUCGAUAAUAAAUUGAAAACGGUCGAAAAUAAAUAGAUUUGUUUAAAAAAUUAUAUUCGCAUUCAUAUUUUUUAUGCUAAAAUUUUACAAUUGCAUACGCGCACCCUAUCGAAUCUGAUGUCGAAUACAGUCGGAAUUUAUCCUAGUACUUGUCACUUCCACCCCUAAUGAUUAAUGGUAUCAGUAUCCAAGAAGCUGAACAUGACCACGUCCCUGCUCUCCCCCAUCAACACUGCAUACUUCCGCAGCAGUCCCUCCCUCUUAAACCCUACCUUCUCCAGCACCCUCUGCGACCUCCGAUUCUCCGCCGCCGCGAACGCCUCCAGCCGCUCGAGCCGCGGCCGCUCCGCAAAUAUCACCGUGACCGCUGCCCUCACCGCCGCCGUCAUGACACCCCGGCCCCACCACUCAUGCGCCAGCCCGUAGCCCAUCGUCGCGCGGUGCGCAUUAUCAUUAUUAUCAUCAUCAUCAUCAUCUCUGAAUACCGAAUUUAUGGAUAUCCAUCCGACGGGCCGGUCCGUGCGGCCGCCGACGCAGAUCGCGCGGUACCACGGAUGGGGGAUGAUGUGGCUCCGGAUGUGGGCCGCGGCCGCGUCUUUCGUCGGAUACGUCGGGCCGAAGAAGCGCAUCACGCGGUCGUCGGCGGCCCACAACAUGAAGGCGUCGGCGUCGGCGUCGGAGAGGGUGAAUGGACGGAGGGUGAUCUGCGGAGGUGGUGGCUUCUUGGCCUCAGGCUCCAUUUUACCACAAAGUUUUAGGAGUCGAAAACAAAGUUCAGUAUUCAGAGGGAUGCUUCAAUAUACCAUAAAUAUUAAAAUUUAUGUGACAUGUAAAAAAAAUUCAUCCAUUACAUAAAUAAAUAUAAAUCAUGCAUUUAGAAAUAGAGUGUACACAUAUCUUUUUCCUUAUAUAUAUAUAUAUAUAUAUAUAUAUAUAUAUAUAUAUAUAUAUAUAUUGAAUGAAAUUGGAAUAUUAUUGAUAGUAUAGAAAAUAAUAUUUCACGUCUGCAUUUUAGUUUUGGAAUACCUCGAGUUUAAUGACGAUAUAGGUGGAAUAAUAUUGAUCUUAGUAUUCUAGAUAGAGUCGUUAAUAAUUUUAUUAACUAGUCGAUAAUAUUAAUUAAAUUUAAUUGUAAAAAAAGUUUGAUAAUUUGAGCAAAUCAUCUCAAAAAACAAUAAUAAAAAAAUAGUAAAGUUGAGGGGACCAUUUCAAAAUUUAUUAUAUUCGAGAGGGUCAAAAAGGAAUGGGAUAUUGGGAUACAGUUGGAUGGAAUUGACUUGUGGGGGACCAAUAAGCAUACGUCGUGUGUUAAAUUACUUAGCUACACCGGGUGUAUAGGUACAUCUCAUACACCACACAGUCAAAAUGUUUUAAAUCCGAGCAUGUACCUGAUUAUAUGUGUUCUAUAAUGUUAAAAAAACACCCUUUUUUUUUUUUCUCCCUCUUUAACUUUUUUUUUUUCCGACCUGUUUUGAUCCCUAGUCCUUUUGAUGGGAGCAUCGAGCGUAUACACCCGGUGCAGGCAAUAAUGUCUGUGAACUGAAGGACCAACUUGGUGCUUUAUUAAUUGCAAAAUAAAAAAAAUAAUGCAGCCGCCAUUGUUGACUUUUGCGCUUUAAUUAUCGUCCGUUGAAGUGUCUAGUUCACCUCUAACGUUUUGCUAAAAAUAUCUUUUUUUUGACAGUUUAAAAUUUUAUAUCAUACUACAAAUUCUACAAAUUUUUGAGUUUAAAUUUUUACUGAUUAGAAUUAUUUUUAAGGUCAUAUCUUACCGUAAAUUAAUCCGAGCUCUGUCCAAUCCGACUUGUGAACAAUUAGCUUCAGUUACUGGCAGCAGAGGAGAAUAUUGACUUAAAAGAGAUUAACAUCUUGGCCUCCGGUGGGAAAUCAAGUUGGGCUAAGUCACGAUCGAAAUGACGGAAGAUCGGGUUGGACUGAGCCAUGUUCGAAAUGGUGUGAGGCUGAUUGAAUCGAAUCACAAUCGAGAUACCACAGGCACCAUCUCUAUAUACUUUAAGUGAAUUGAUUACGUACUUUUAACGGUUCUAAUUUUUAAAGUUGAUAAUUAGCACCAAUUAGGAUUAUACAGAAAAAAGCUAAAAUAAAUUUUUGCGUUCCAAGAAAUACUUUUGUGGAAACUCAAUAAGAGAGAUCCAUUGAAGCAAAUCGGAGAAAAUACAACUUUAAUGGCAAAUUAAAGCUCCACACACAAACAAUAUCAUUGGAACUAUAUAACUAUAUAAGCAACAAGCCCCAUUUACUACCCAAGCAACCUAUCACUCUUCAAGAAGCUAUACACCACCAUAUCCCUCACGCUCCCUUUUUGAAUCCAAUACCUCCUCAACACCCCCUCCCUCAUAAACCCUACCUUCUCCAACACCCUUUGUGACCCCCUAUUCUUCACAUCCACUAACCCCUCCACCCUCUCCAACCCCUCCACCGCGUCGAACACCUCCGCCACCGCGAUCCUCACCGCCGCCGUCGCGACGCCCUUCCCCCAGUAGUCCGACGCGAGGACGUAACCGAUCUCCGCCCUGCAUGCGUUCUCGCCUGCACCGGGCGUUACAGACACAGCACCCACGGGUCUCGCACCGACGCAGAUGGCGCGGAAGUAGGGGUGGGGGAGGACGGACGACUCCAUGUAGGCGAGGAGGUGGGACUUGUCGGUGUAGGCCUCCCACCGGCAGAAGCGGGUCACCUUGUCGUCGGAGGCCCACACCAUGUAGUCGUCGAGGUCGGAGAGCUCGAAGCGGCGGAGGGUGAUCGACAUCGUCGGCGCCGCGGAGUUCGCAGGCUCUUGUUGUUGUUGUUGUUGUUGUUGUUCCAUUUUGUGUAGAUGGGGGAUUAUGAGGAGGAGAAUUGUGUUGUUGAGAUGUGUUGUGGAGUAGUUUCAUUUUAUAGAUUGAAGAGGGGGAGGGGAGUUGACGCUGAUCAAAUUUGACCGGUCUCGUUGACUAAGUCAACGUUUGACUAAGGAGGCGAAAAGACUAAUCUACCCCUAUAGUUUUUACACGUAUAGGCUAAAUUGCAUAUUUGGUCCUCAAACUAUUAGCGGCAAUACUCACUUGUUCGCAAACUUUUAUUUGUUGUAGUUUUUGACUCGAAUUUUUUGAAUCAUUGUGAUUAAGUCCAAUAAUCCAGUUUAGUUGUCUACACUCUGCAUAUUAACUGUCGCCUUUGCGAUCCCCUUCCCGGGGUGCAGCAGCAAUGACACGUAGCUCAUCUCGUCUUUGCAUUUGCUAUCUAUCUGUUGAAUAUAAAAUAUUAAAAUAUUAUUCUAUAACAACUUAGAUUUAGGUAUAAUUACCUACAUAUCUCUUAAAAGUAUUGGACUAUUAUUUUGAUUCCAAAAAGUUUAAGUGGCGAAAUCUGUCUCUUUAAAGUUUCUUCAUUAUUUUCAGAUUAAUUUCAUGCUCAUUCUAACUGUAGAUCAAAAUAAGGAGUAAGUUUUAAAGACAUUAAAACUUUGUUGGAUAAUUUUUAUCACUUAAAUUUUGUAGGUAACAUAUAUGAAGGGACAAAUGAUUUUUUUUUUUUUUUAAGUAGAGUUUACAACUACUUUUGAUAGUAGAUUAAGAGAACUUAUAACUUUGUAGGGAAAGUUUUCGCCGCUUAAAUUUUUUUAAAAGUAAAUAUGAAAGGUGGGUACUUUUAACUUUUAAGAGGUACAUAAAUAAUUAUCCCUCAAAUUUAAGACUUUGUUUAAUGUUACUAUCUUCUUUUGCUUUUUAGAAUAUAAAUUUUAUAUUUUAAAUUUGUUAGACAAUCAAAAAAUCAAAACUUAGCAUAUAUCUGAAUAUAUUUGAUUUAUUCAUGUUUCAAAUUUGUCGCUGGCUAUUUUCUUAUUUGCUUCUAGAACAGUAUCAAUUUCUUCUCAAUAUGUCUGGGCCGUCGAGAAUUUAUUGGAAAGAUUUUAAAUUUUAGAGCUAUAUUUGAAAAAUAGAUAUUUUUGAGAAAAUAUAAAAAUUGCACCAAAAAAAAAUUGCUAUUUGUAUAUCUUCUAGUAGGGCGUUCAUUUUAAAUCCUAUCCAUCUCAGGGACUACUCUUUUCAAUUGUUACUAUUUUUGGAUUAUUAUUUAAUCCCAUUUUUAAAACAUUAGUAAGAUUUACAUCUCUAUUUGAAGCGUACAAGUGGAAAUUUUCAUAGGACCAAAAUUAAAUGUCGAGGGAGUAAUUUCAAAUAACCCUAUAGGUAAGGGGGUUCUCCGCAUAUUUGUUUUGUAUUUUUAAUUUAAUUUUUAGAACAGAACAAGCAGUAAAUUUCAAAUACCCCAUGUGGUAUCACACUUUCUCACUCUAGCAUCCUAUAGUUUAAAGUAUAUCAAGUUAAUCCCUGUGGUUUCGCACUUCUCACUUUAGUACCCUGUGGCUUAAGUGUAUCAAGUUAGUAUCCUAUGGUUUCAUUUUUCUCUUUUUAUUAUCUAUUUCACUAAUUUUUUCGUUAAAUCAGUAACAAAGUUAAAAUUAAAGGGUACUAAAGUGAAUAUUCGAUAAACCUAGAUAAGAUAUCUGAAGUUUCUUGUAUAUAAUUUAACAAAAUACUAACGAAGGAAAAAAAACAGUGACAAAGUUAAAACUAAAGGGUACUAAAGUAAAUAUUCGAUAAACCUAGGUAGAGUAUUUAAAAUUUUUUAUAUAUAAUUUAACGAAAUAUUAACAGAAGAGCCGAUGAAGAGAGAAAAAUGAAACUACAGGGUACUAAAUUAAUGCACUUAAACUAUAAGCUAGUACAGUAAGAACGUGCGAAACCACGGGGUGGUAUUUGAAGUUUCCCCCAAAAAAACACGAGGUGUCGACAAAAUUGGGGAAAGCGGAGCAUCAGGGGUUCCACCACUCCGCGAUGGCUCCUCCGAAGAAAUCGAAGAAGCCGAAGCGAAAAUCCAAGGAUUCUGCUGCAUCUGGAAGCAGAAGCACCGCACAGAUCGGCCCCGCGGAAGCCAAAAACUUGGAGACCGAGUGGUGGUACAGCUUCUUGCAGAAGCAGAGCGAUUCCGGUAAUUUUGAUCCAUUUUUUUCGGCUCAUUUUUCGCUCUAAUCCUUCAAAAUCUCCGUGGGUUUUGUAGAUUGUAGGUGAUUCUAGCCCCCAAGUUGGUAAAUUUACUUGCUUUGAUGCGUUUUUAGUAGAAAUUUCUACUAAUUAGAUGCUUGAUUACGCCUGUCAUUCAAUCUGACAUGCAAACCAUGUGCAGUUCCAAUCUCUGGUUCAAUAUGACAUGCGAAUACGAAGGGAAAAAGGGCACGCUUUUAACCAUUCUUUGAGCUAAGGCCCGAUCUGGAUGUAGGUUUUUUUUUUUUUUUUUUUGGGUAUGAUUGGAAGGGAGGAGUUUGAUUUUUGCUCCUUGAAAGGUCUUAAGCAUCCAUGAUUUGAUAGGAUAGCAUAUUUCAACCUGCAUGCGAAAUGUUUGAUCUUAUUCCCGAAAAAAUAACUUACGAUCCUGUUUAGAUGCGUAAAUAUCUUGUUUAGUGCAUCUCCAUGAUUUACUUGAAAAGCUUGUACAUUUCGUACGUGAGAAGUGUGUUUUCAAAGUCUAAAAUUGGAUACUUUAUUCGAUAUUCAAGUUGUUUUUUUCCGGAAAGGGUAAAUCACCUCGUAUAUGAAAUAUACUAUUCUACCAAGGCGUAAAAAUCAAACUCCUUUUUGUUUUACCAUCAUACUAUAAAAUUCUUAUACCGAAUAAGUUAAUUCUUGGAUAACUUAUUUCUGACAUCCGAACAGGACCUAAGUGAAUUUAAAAAGAUGUGUUGAAUAAGAUGUUCGUGCAUCCAAACAGAGCCUGAAAUAUACUGGGAAUGUUUAUUACAAGGAGAGAACAACACUCCAUCUCUUGGUGAAUGUAUUUGCUGGUUUACGUGUAUCAUCCAUCGACUCAACACUAGAAUUUGUUUUCAGAACCUGUGCAGACUCGACUUAAACAGUCAUCAUCGUAAAAAACAAUGAUAAAUGAUCUUCUUGUAACUCUCCUCUAAUUUUUUUUAUUAUGAAUUUGGAUAUUUAUUAGUGUCUUAUCAAAUUUUCCUUCUCAGCUUUUUUUUCGGUGAUUCGUUUCUUAGUUGUGUUUUGUCUUCUAUGGUCCACAUUUUUCUGCAAUUCUGGUCUCCAAAAUGAUGCAGACAUUUGCAGCUAAUGACAUUAGAAAUUUCUCCCGAGCAAAUUUUCCUGCAAUAGAGUUGCUUGAGUAGGUCGAUAUGGUGGCGAUUUCUUGUGUUUCCGUUACAUAUUAUCUUUUCAAAACCUUUUUGCCGACCUAUUUGUGAAAAGUGUCUAUACUGAGCUACAGAUAGUAAAGCAUGUAAUGAACGGUUAGUCAAAUAAAAGAUAGAUGAUUUUUGGAAUGUAUUAGAACUAAUAGCCUUCGACUUGCUGCAAAGAUAUGUUCCUUUGUCCAUGAAUGCCUUCAAUGUGAUCAGAUAUGUUAGUUUCUUGCAGAAUGGUGAGUUAUCACUAUUGCAGUAAGCGGGUCGGUACUCAUUUCUCUUUUCCUUCUCUUUUUCUGUGCGUGAUCAAAUUGCGACGCUUCUCUUUUCUUCUUUCAGAGUAUUGUUUGAUUGUAGUUUUCCUCUCUGAAUAUUGUUCCUUUAUGAAUAGUUUUGUAGUCUUUAUUUUUUAUCUUUAUUAUAUAGGUUAGUGUUUAGGUAGUUGAGCCGAAAAAUGGGAAAACUUGCGGCGCUUUAGUAAGUGGGAUGGGACAUAUUUAUAAAUCAUUGUGUUGCUCGUAGCUUCUAAAGCACUAUCGUUUAACAUAGAACUUACAUUAGAGAUUUUAUACCAGAGACAGAUUUUGGACCUCAGACCUUUCUAGCAUGAUGCUACAGCGCUUCCUUUGCGUAUUUUAGCUGGAUAUUUAUGUCAGUUCAACCUUUCUAGCUAUUACUUUACCAUGUUUCGCUAUUGAUAGCUCGGCAGAGUGCAAGAAAUAUUAGAGCGGAAUAUGUUAAGCAACUUUUGCCUGAUUAGCUUGCCUAUUUGUAUGAACAUCUUUAUUUUCUCUCUCAAUAAAUUUAUAAAACAUUGAUUUCAAACUCAACCUACAGGAGUAACUAUUCCUCCUGACGAGGGUGAAGCAUUCAAACAUUUCUUCAGGAUAUCAAAGAAAACCUUCGAGUACAUCUGCUCUCUUGUGAGGGAGGAUUUGGUGUCAAGGCCUCCUUCCGGCCUCAUAAACAUCGAAGGGAGGCUUCUUAGUGUCGAGAAGCAAGUCGCCAUUGCCUUGCGAAGGCUUGCAUCCGGCGACUCCCAAGUGUCUGUGGGCGCUGCUUUCAAUGUUGGCCAAUCCACGGUUUCCCAGGUGACAUGGAGGUUCAUCGAGUCGAUGGAAGCUCGCGGCAAGCACCAUUUAAACUGGCCCAACCAAGCCCGAAUAGAGGAAAUCAAAACCCAUUUCGAAAUGGCUUUCGGCUUGCCCAACUGUUGUGGGGCCAUUGGCGCAACCCAUAUUAUAAUGACUUUACCUGCAAUAGAAACAUCUGAUGAUUGGUGCGACAAGGAGAGAAACUAUAGUAUGUUUUUACAAGGGGUCGUCGACCAUGAGAUGAGGUUUCUUGAUAUUGUAACUGGUUGGCCAGGAAGCAUGAGCAUCUCCCGCCUUUUGAAGCACUCAUACUUCUUCAGGCUUUGCGAGAGCGGUAAGCGCUUGAACGGGCCCGCGAAGAAGCUUGUAGAGAACGAGGAGAUUAGGGAAUACAUAGUAGGGGAUGCGGCCUACCCUCUUUUUUCAUGGCUUAUGGUUCCUUAUGAAGGUAAAAGCCUAUGUGCCUCGAUGAACACAUUCAAUGCCGGGCAUACAGCAGCGAGAUCACUCGCGUCAAGAGCGUUGUCGCGGUUAAAGGGCACGUGGAGGAUACUGAACAAGGUCAUGUGGCGGCCGGAUAAGCACAAACUGCCCAGCACUAUCCUUGUUUGCUGCUUGCUUCACAACAUUGUUAUCGACUGUGGAGAUGAAUUGGAUGCUGACGUCGCCCUACCGGAACAUCAUGACGUCGGAUAUGAGGAGCAGAGUAUGCAGCAAGAGGGUUCCUUGGGGCAGGCGAUGAGAGAGAUCUUAACAAAAUAUUUGCGGCCCAUUUGAAGCUCCUUGUUAGAAAUGAAUAUGCUUUUAUUUCUUUUGCAAAUGUUUUGCGCAAUGCUGUCGCUUAUCUUGCAAGUUUGAACUUGUUGGUUCUCGGCAAGAUGCUCAUCUGAUGCUAAAUGUUGAUUCAAUGAUAAUCAUUCUCUUCCCUACCUAUUAUUCUCAAUACUUACUACUUAUUUCCCAACCUUACAAUUGUUACAAUCUGGUCCUAAACAUUCAUGUUGUUGCGACUUCACCAUAUCGCUUAAAUUUUUACAUUGAAGUAUACAUAAUCAUCAUAUCAUUUGAUAAUUAUGUAACUGGAAUUCGACAGGAAAGGUAAGAUUGCAACAAAAAGUAAAGAUUGCGGACCGAACUGUAACAAUUGUAAUAAUAUUCAUUGAUCAUGCACAUACAUCCCUGAGAACUCAGAAUGAAAGACAUGCAAUAGCACACACAUAUUCACAUACAUGAACUGAAAACAGAAUACGGUGAGAGGCAGAGGCUGCGAGGAAGAGGAUGGCAAUUAGAGAACACGCCGAUUUGUUGCAGGAAAUUCCGUUCGACGGUUGGCUCGUAGUCGAAGGUGUGAUCUUGGAUUCAACCCCUGCAUCAGAAAUAAAAGGUAAAAAUCAUGGAAUUUCAGAGGAUUAGAUUGUAUUCAGAGUAUACCUGAUUACAUACUAAUGUUUAGUACUUUUUCAUUUUAUGUAAAUCAUCGUCGAACCUGACGUACCGGUCGGGAUUGAUGAUGUCGACGGCGGUGUGGUGCUCCUCGGGGCCGACGGUGUGGAUGGGGUCUCCUGUGCAGAGUUGGUCGGGGUCGACGGUGUUGCUGGUGCCUACGGUGUCGGGCUGGUCGCGACGCCUGGUUUGGCAGGGUUAGCGGUAGCUGCCGGAGACUCCGCUCGUGCACCUGCUGCAGCUGCGGUAACCAUUUAAAAGAACACAAUUUUUCGAUCCGAGUGCCUUCAAUUCACUUGUUAUGAAAAAAUUUACAAUGGCUUGUUACAGGUAGUGGUGUUUGAACCUCACAGGCACCCGGAAGCUCGAGGGCGCGGGUUUCGCAAAUGAUCAUGCCAGGGGAUGAAGCGGGUGGCUGAGACCGAACACUGCCCGCAAGCAUGGAGCAGCACGAGGAGGAGGGCGCCGACGUGUUGCCCGUGAGGAAGUCGAGGCAGGGGGCGAGGCCCACGAUCACAGCCGCACAGUUGGAUUGGGCCGAGGCACAGUUCGCGAGCAGUAGUCCCACUGUAGCCAAGGCUACAGUGAGCAUCGGAACGCUUGGAACCAUUCUUUCUGAUUGGAUUGGAUUGGAUUGGAUUGGAUUUCGAAGGGGUUAUAAAUAAUUUUGAUAGACGAAAAAAGGAAAGAAAAGUUGAAAUUGGGUUAGUUUUGGUGACCAACUUUUCCUACUAGAACUGUUGUGGGAUGUUGAAAGAUCCAUUUUUGUGUAUAAUAAAACUAUUAAUUAUAAGAGAUUUGAGUAGGUGGUAGUACGAUUAGUUAAGGGUAGUUAUUUUAUGUUUCCAAUAACUUUUCCGGGUGACAAAAAUUUCAAACUCCGAAAUUAAUGGAAUAAAUUAUGCUAGGAUUCUCAAAUUAGUAGCACAGUUGGUAUGUUUAUUUUAAAAAAUAUAUAAAAUGUCAUUAUAUUUUUGCAUGCCAAUUUUUUAUUUUUCAAGGUAUUGUAAUUUUAGUAGUUAUACUAUUUCUCCUCUAAAAUGGAUAAUUGAAAGUUUGGAAAUGUGAUCCACGCUGUUUAGUUUUUAGUCUUUAUGGCAAAUUUUUUAUCUUGGUACCGUCACUAUUUAGUGCAGUUGGUAAAUAUUUCUCUUUCGGGCAGCGUGAUUUAAAUUUGAUUUCUGAUUCAUGAAGGAUGCGUGCAUGUGUGUGACUCACGUACAUCUAAAGAAAAUUAAGAAAAAACCUCAUCAGUGAAUAACGAGGUUAUGUAGAGAGAAAUUAAUAUUUCCUUUUGGGGCAGAUUCGGAGUGAAUUUUAAAAAAUCUUAACCCGAGUACCAAAAUGAAAAUCCAAACUCGAACCCGAACCCAUCAGAUUUUGAAAAUUCGAAACCAAAAUCAAAUUCGACAAACAAACCGAAACCUGCAAAAGAACCAAAAAUUUGAACCCAAAAUUAAUCAUUUUUUCGCCAAAUUUUUAAAAACAUAUCAUAUGCAAAUCUAAAAUUUUAAAGUACAAAUUUAAAUUCUAUAUAUUAUAUAAUAUAAUAUCUGUUGGGAUUCGGGUUUGAGUUGAGUGGAGAUAAAAACGAUACCCUGGAACCUGAAUCCAUGGACUUUCCGUUUUUUAUACCCGUAAUGGAAACCAUACCCGUUAUAGUACUUGUUAAACGCAAAGCAGCUCUGUUCGGGUUGAGGUUCAGAUAAGAUCCUGGGUAUCCGUGCCCAUUGACAUCCUAAUUUCCUCUGUAAUGUAUACAAUUUUUUUCCCCCAUCCAAAUUAGUUCAAAUUCAAAAUCUCAGCUUGUACAUUUUAGCCAAGCAACAAUUGGCCCGGCCCAGCCAAAUUUUGAGAACCUUUGCAUCAAAUACAUGGUGCGUAGUCCAGAGUAGGGCUAGUAAUUCAGUUUGCUGUUCGUGAGCCAGCUCGGGCUUAGCUCGAAAUAAGCUCGAGGUUGAUUUAAUAAACGAGCCGAGUGCGAGCUAAAAUUUUCAGCGCGAAAUUGUAACGGGCCGAACCUGAGCUAGGUUAAGCUUGCUCAUGUAUUACACGAGUCGAAAAUAACCUGAUCGUAGCUCGCUCGUAUUAGGCUCGUUGAUAGCAUUAGUCGGAGGAUCCCACACGUGCGUUAUAAAAUUAUGUUUUCACAAAACCGUUGUAGAAAUUAUUUAUAAGAAUUGCUUUGCAGAGUUUUAUUGUAGGUUUUUUAAUCAUAUUUUAUCUUCUUUAAAAAAAAAGACUUUAAUGUAGUCUAAAAUAACAAAUAAUAUUUUUAUUCAACCAUCCAAAUUACAACAUCUACAAAAUAUAAAUCCCAAAUAUCAAGAAUACAAAACAAGCAUGAAAUAACCAAAAAAAAAAAAAGAAUACAAAACAAAACAACAACUACACUCAAACAAACGACUCAAUGUGAUAAGUAAACCACAGUACACAAUAUAAGAGACUGGAGCAGUAGUAAUCCGUAGCACUCUAGAAUACGGCAACGGAUACUAAAGCCGCAAGGAAUAAGACGGAAAUCGUCGCCGACUUUGUAGAAACCCCAUCGGAUGAUUGGGCUGUGGUGGAAGGAGUGGUCUUAGAGCCUGUUCCUGCAUUAAAAAAAAAAAAAAAAAAAAAAAAAAAAAAAAAAAAAAAAAAAAAAAAAAAAACCCUGUAAAAAUAAGUUCAAAAAUUUAUUAAGUAUUUGUUUUAAUUUUUUUAUAUUUUAUUAUUGAUUUAUUGGCACGAAGGUGACAAAAUUUAGAUUUUAUAUUAUUUUAUUUAUUGUGACCAUCGUUGUUUAGAACAGUUAGUUAUUAUCUUCUUUUUCAAACUAUAAUAUUUUUGUUUAUAUACUGCUUCGAUGUUGUGUACGCUAAUUAACUUUUAAUUUUAAAAUAUUAAUCAUUAGUAAUAGUAGGGACAAUAAUCUAAAAGUGUUCGCUCAACUAGUCCACCUACUCUUAUACGUACCCACUUAUAGACCAUUCAAACCCAUAAUUUUUUUUAAAAAAAAAUUGUGUUGCAUAAUUUAAAUUAACUUUAGUAGCCAUGCAAUUCACCUGAGGCACUUGGCACUGAGGGUGUGGUCGGCGUCGUCGGCGUCGCAGGCGUGGUAGCGCCACUUGGCAUUGUUGGGGUCUCCGGCGUGGUCGGCGUCGCCGGCGUGGUCGUAACAGGAGUUGGAGAAGCAGUCGGCGAUGCAGCCGGUGCGCCGGAAACAGCUGCCACAAUCAAAAUCAUUCCUCCAAUUUUAGCCCAAAUUCAACUCAAAUUCAAAAUUCUUAGCGUAGAUUCAGAUGUCGGAAUAAGUUAUCUCAUAAUAAUUCGCGCUUGCUUACUAUAUAUAAAAUUUGCUAUUGUAGUAGAUAUCUUAACAUUAAGAGAUAUACCGAAUAAUAUGUUCAUGCAUAUAAUGUGAGAGAUUUGAGUUUACGUACCGUUGCAUUGGCUAACCGGCGGGGUUUUGACUUUGCAGGCACCGGGGAGCUCGAGUGCGCGAGUGUUGUUGAUAGCGACACCGAGGGACGAGGCGGCGCCACCCAGCACGGCACAGAGGCACUGCGGCUGAGACUGCAGGAUGCUGGAAAGCGCCGAGCAGCACGGCGAGCCGGGGACGGAGGUAUUGCCCGUCAUGAACCCUAGGCAGGGCGCCAGGCUGAUGAUCGCCGUCACGCAGCCCGUCUGCGCCACGGCGUAGCGGGCCGAGAGGAUCGCAGUGGCGACAGCGAAGGCGAGGCCUAGAGACAUGAUUUUGUGGGCCAUUUUGGGGGAUGAUAACUUUAUAUGAAAGUGUGUAUCUAGUGAGAGUGUGUGAGAUGUUGUUGUAGAGUUUGUGUUUGUGUUGUGAUUGUGGAGAGGGGGGGGAUUGAUGGAUUAGGGUUUAUAAAGAGGUAGGGCGGUGAGGGUGCAAAUUGGGAACCAAAUUGGUGGCCAACUUUUUCUACUAACAACUCUAUUUGGACUUUGAAAACAUUUUGGAGGGAGAGUGUGGUGGCAACUAAUAAUUCUCAAGUAAAUUAUUGCUUAUACCCGGUGCAUCUAAAAACUUCUGUCAUUCAUUCCAUCUCAUCCUUCAAUUUGUACAGUCUUAACUGUUAUCAUAGCUCAUCUAGUUUUUAGAUCAGAAAGAGACUGUAACUCAGUGUGGGGCUGGAGAUUGAAGUAUAAGAUGACACAGAUGAUGGGGAUAAUAUGUGGUGCGUAGAGUAUGUAGACGCACCGGGUGCACGAAAGGAUUUUCAGAGGGGUGUUGGUAGGGAUAAGCUUUGUUUUUUUUAUGGUUGGCCACCAUCUCUCCUGCCCCCUUGCUUGUUCCAACUAGAAUAUUCCUAAUUUUUUUUUUUACUACUAUUAUUUGGACAAAAUUAAUUUCAAAAACUAUUUGGACAAAAUUUUAUGAGAAAGCUCUCCUAUAAUUAUUAAUAUAAGUGUUAAUAAUAUAUUAAUAUUAGUCCUCAAAAUUAUUUUCUUCUACCCGAAAAAGAAAUAUGAUAAUUUUAGGUUAAUAAAUUAUUCUUAUAUUUUUGUGCAUGAUGGAAGCUAUUUUAUUUUUAAUUAACUGUUUCAAUUAUCUGUUGCAUGAAAUGCUUUCCAAUAAAUAUUUUGCACUUGGACUAAUCCAGUCCAUGUGUGAUGUGGUAAACCAAGUCCAAUAAGUGUUUCUCCUACCAAUCUUGCAAAAAAAAAAAAAAAAAAAAAAAAAAAAAAAAAAAAAAAAANCUUUUUUUUUUUUUUUGUCUAAAUAGAGUUUAGGAAGGGAGUGCUCACCUACUUUGCUUUCCUUUUAUUUCAGUGAUAGAACAUUCCAAAUGUAUAUUAUGAAUUUAGAUACCAAAUUUUAUAUUUUUCAAAAUUAUUUGUGUAGUGACCGAAAGUUCUCAAAAUCGAUAAAUUUAAUGACUGAUGUAAUUCGAGUGUAAGAAUAUAUGGUGUUCAACAGCCCAACUUAGAUAAAUUUUGAUUUUUUUUUUCACUAUCUAGAAUAAGAUCAGUACUUCUACUUUAAAAUUUAUUUUUCAUUAUCAUUUUAAAUAAAAUUUUUAUUUUUCAGUUAUUUAUUUUGAGACCACUUAGUCGUUAGAUAAGAAACGUUAACAAACCGUAAUAUUUGAUUUCAGAUACUUUCAAUAAUAUAGACUAUGCCUAUUAAAAUUAAUCGUGGAUUCAAAUGUCUUAUCAUUAAAACAAAGCAUAAAAAAAGACCUCAAUUUUGACACUAUUAAAGAUAGGGCUACACUAUUACGUACUUGACCAGUUCACCAUUAAGGUGGAUUAGGUAAACUGGUUAAUUAAUCCUUUAAUAAUUGAAGCAUUUUGUCUAAAUUCUUAAUUAAUUGUGCUUUAUAUGCAAUCAUAUCUUAUAAUAAUAGUUAUAUUAAUCAGAUAAUCACAUAUAAUUUUAAUUGUACCAAUGCAUGCAUGUGGUUGCUACAAAGAACUGUUAAAUUAUUGGUUUGGUGAAAGAGGCUCACAUGAAGCUCAUUAUCGAUAAGAGGAGACAAGGAAAUGAUUAAAUAAUAAUAUUCUUUAUUAAUUUUACAUGUAAUUAGUGACAAUUAGGGUUUAACAUGCCAAAACUUUACGUCAUUAGCUAUGUUUAUGUGCGUAAACUAGUUUAUAUAUAUAAAAAUGUGGAACUAAUUAAAAGUUUACCUAAAAAAACUCUUGCUAAGUGAAACACUCGAAAUAGAUUUCUGAGGUCCAAAAAUAUUAAUUCUAAUUAGGAUAUAGUAUUGUUUCAUAAAGUUUUAUUUACAAAACAACUGCAUCAUACCCAUUUGAAUAAUUGGGCGCCACAUUUUUAUAUAUAUAAACUAGUUUACAGAAAAAAAGAUAGCAUAUUAUAUGCUCCGUUCAUAUUUUUAAGAAAUGAAUUUAGCUGAAAAUUCGAAUUUAAAACUUCGGAAACCAACCAUUAAACCUUUUGCCGAUUAUGUUUCAUAAAGUUUUUAUUUACAAAGGGUGGCAUCUUUGGUUUUCUUUUUCCUCUUUUCUAAUAUACUUUUUAAUAUAUUAUUUAUUCUUCAAAAAUUAGUUUCAACUAUUCAAACUUUACAUAAUUAUUUUAAAAAAGUCAUCUAAAACUUUUUUUUUAAAAAUAAACUAUAUAUUUUAUAAUUAAUUAAAAAUAUUUUUAAAAUAAAAUUACAAUACAAAAAAAAUAAAAAUGUACUAAAAUGAACUGGCCCGUAACUCGGCCCGACCCGGCCCGGCCCGGUUCGGGCAGUGGCCCAUGUUUGGCCAUAGCCCAACAAAAGGUCACCCGGACUGGCCCGGCCCGGAUGUUAUUUUGGGUUGGGCCGAGCCACCUUGUGGCCCGUUCCGGCCCGAAAUAUCUGGGCCAUGCCAAUCUGACGUGGCCGAGAUUACACCCCUAUGGACUUGAUCGUUACAUUUUAUAUGAGAGCCGAUUCAUUAUGAGAUGGAUCUCAUAUAGCCUGGUGAUCUUAGGCUACAGAAGCACUAGAAAAUUAGAUCCCGACUAGAAUAUCGUGAACUAGAGAAGAGGAGUAUGAAACCACAUAAUUAAUUUUAUUUUUAAAUAGAGAUGGUCAUUUGUUCCGCAGGGUCUCUGAUACAUUUUAUUUAUUUAUUUAUAGGGGUUAUUGGGUUACACAUAGUUAGAAUUACACUGCAGUUGUAACUGUAUGCAAAUCUAAAUCUAAUGUUUCUUUUGAUACAUUUGAAUUCAAUUGCUACAGUUACAAUUUCACGAAAAGGCUCAAUUGCAAUAGUUGAAACUGCAGCUAAAUUAGUCGUAGUUCCAACUGAAGCACUUGAAAAGAGUGAUUUUAAAUAUAGAUAAGCUUAUCUCCCUAAUAAAUAUUUGUUUUUUCUUUCCUACAUAGAGGGUAAUCUCACCCUCUUAUAUAGAAAAAAAGAUAGAAAUUCGUAAAUAUACUUCUCAACUAUACGCAACCAAAUAAAAUAUUUAUAACUGCAACACUCUUCUGCAUGCAAUCAAACAAGAUGCAUAUAAUUAUAAUUACUGCAUUCCAAUUGUAUACACUUUUAACCUUACUACGUACAUUUAUAAUUUUGUCGGACCCUCUUCGUUUCUCCAUAACUAAUUUUUAGAUUGAAUUGAAGUUCAUAUGGAAAUUUUUUUCUAAACCGCUGCUUGCUUGAUAGAAAGUGAAUGGCUUCAAAAGUGUCGCUACUAUCCCAAUUUUUUUUAUUGUUUUAUUAAAAAUUUCGACACUAAUACCUAAAAAGGUGAAAGAAAAGGGCUUUUUUAUAAAAUAACCCUCCAAAAUUUAAAAAUUAGAGAAAUAAUCCUGUCAAAAUUUUAUUUGAAAAAAUAACACCCAUUUUGCCACGUAAGGGUCACGUCAGAUUUUUGCUAUGAAUGCGGUGAAUCAUUCACCGCCUUCACAUACAUAUAAUGAAGGCGGUGAAUAAUUUACCACCUUUAUAAUAUAUAUGUGAAGGCGGUGAAUCAUUUAGUGCAAAAUACUUCAAAUUUAUCGAAAUUUGUCUAAGUUCUGAAGUUAAACACAGAUAAGACGAUGAAUCAUUCACCGUCUUCACAUAUAUAUUAUGAAAGCGGUGAAUGAUCAUUCACCGCCUUCAUUAUAUAUAUAUAAAGACAGUGAAUCAUCCGCCGCCUUUAUAGCAAAAAUCCAACGUGGCGAAAGGAGGGUUAAUUUUUCAAACAAAAUUUUGAUAGGAUUAUUUUGCUAAUUUAAAAUUUUUGGAGGGUCAUUUUAUAAAAAAGCCCGAAAGAAAAUUACAGUUGUUAAUUUUUUAAUUUUUUGUUUCUAUUUUUUAAUCUCUGAUAAUUGACUUCGACGUAAUCCUAGACAAAGUAAUUUGCGGCAUUUUUAGAAUUUAACUUAUGUCGAAUCAAAUAACAAAAACACAUAUUUACGACUAAAAAUAAUUUUAGUUCCCUCCACUUUUCGUUAAACAAACAUGCUCUGGACUUAGCUCCGAGUCUAAACUCGGUAGCGACUCAGUUGGGUUUCGUUCACGAAACCCAAAUUGAAUCCGAACCUAACCCGAACAAAUCGACCCUUGCGGUUUCGUCCAAACAAUGCCAAGAAAUUUGCACUCGCGGUCGCAAACCAACCACACCUAACCAUUUUGGACCCUGUCGAAUUCCCCGAGCCACUAAAUUUCCGCCACGUGUAGCUUUAAUUCUCACGCUAACGUAUUCAUUUCUAAAAGCUUAGGUCCCAUACACAUUCCCACCUAACUUAAGCCGUUACAUUUUUCACAAGUAAUCAAAAAUUAGCUAUAGUCGCUAACUACCAUAACCAACCCUCAAUCUACCUCAAAUUUCAUCAUACACCCUCUUACUAUAUAUAUAUAUAUAUAUUAUAUAUAUAUAGACACACACACAGGAGUACUUAUCAUCUUUAACAAGUUCUCAUAGUACAAAAAUUUCAUUAAUCCCUCAAAACUUAGAUCAAGAGAUAUGGAGUUCAUUAAGCAUAAUGUUAGGGAGAUAAUGCUUCUACUAGCCGUGAUUUUAGUUUUUGGGGCUGCGCCGAUCUCCGGGCAGGUCGCGUCGUCGUGCACGAGCUCCCUCAUUUCGAGCUUCACUCCGUGCUUCAACUUCCUCACCGGGAGCACCAACGGCGGCGGCAGCGGGUCUCCGACCACCGACUGCUGCAAGUCCCUUGCUGGGGUCAUUACCAGCAGCACCAGCUGCAUGUGCCUGAUACUGACAGGAAAUGUCCCUUUUGGCCUACCAAUCAACCGGACCCUGGCCAUCUCGUUGCCGCGGAUCUGCCGCUCGAUGUCGGUGCCCCUGCAGUGCAAUGGUUCGAUCAUUUCGACUCGAAAUCUCUACGAAUUUUUUCAGACGUAAUGAAUUUGGCCGAGUUUUCUCUUAAGUGACAAAUUUUUAUUUUUAUUCUUAUUUGUGUGUUGCAGAUGUUGCCACUCCACUUCCUGGCCCAGGUACUCUUCUUUAAAUUGUGAUAGAAACAUUUACACUUCUCCCCAAAACCUUAUAAAUAUUUACAUAGUAGCCCCUAACUGCAAUCCACAUUUUGUAACCUAACAGGUUCUUCUAUUGCAUUUGGACCUGCACUUCCCCCACUAGGUAAGAUUUUUUUUUUUUUAAAAAGUUUGAAAUGGUCAUAUGACAAUAUACACUAACAUUUUAUUUUUUUUUCAAAAAUGUUCGAAUUGAUCGAUGCAGCACCGACGCCACCACAAUCGUCGAUUCCUCCUCUAACCACAUUCUCACCACCAGAGGCGACUUCCCCAUCCCCCUCGUCGUCGGUCGAGCCCGUGGCUCAAUCACCGACCACUGGAGAUCGAGGAGUAAACCAAGGCCAACGACCGCUCGUGUUAUCGAGCUCGGCGACGAAACACUCCCAAUACUACUUAGGGUUUACUGCACUUUUCAUGUUUGUGUUUAGAGUGGUGGUUUUCUGAAUUAAACGAGAUUAGAGUUGCAUAUUUAUCGGUGUUCGCCGAGUGAUAUACAUACAUACAUACAUACAUACAUACAUAUAGAUUUAUAUAAAUAUAUAUAGGGAGAAAAGAGUGUUAUUGUUUGUUGUUGUUAUUGAUAUUAUUUUGGAUUGUAAUUAUUUCUGAUAUAUUGAUAAUAUAAUUGGUUUGAUUUGUUUAAGUUUUCGCAUCUUGAUUGGAGUUGCGACUUUGUUCUAAUAUCAUGAUAAAUAAUAUCAAAUAUAUAAUGUUUUUCAGAAGUUAAAGCUAUUGGAAAAGAGAUUUUUAGUGGUUUAUAUUCAAUAGAAUCUUUUCAAAAUCACAUAAAAUUUAUAUAGUAAAAGAAAGUGACAGUCAUACUUAACAAGUUGUAAUUAAAUUUAAUAGCUUUGUUACGUACAUUUCUCAGUUAAUUAUAUAUAAUAGUACUAAAAAACUAUUAUAUUUAAUUCAUAAAAACUUUAAGUAUUUUAAAAUUAUGUUUGACAAAUUGUGAUCCUUGAUUUAAUUGCUCUGUAAUUUUGAAAGAAUUAUAAAAUGUUACAAUUCACACUAUUAUAGCUUUGGCUCUGUUUGAAAUUAUAGAAAAAUUUCGUUACAUGUAGCGAUCAAAAAAAAUAAAUAAAUUAUAUACAGUGAGAAAUUACCGUAAAUAAGAUAUAUUAUUUAUAUCUUAAAAAAAUAGAAGUAUAUCUUCAUAUGCUUUAGUUCCAAUUUGAUUUUGCUAAAUAACAUUAGGUCGCCCUUGAUACCAAACCAUUCAUUAUAUGACUUUUAAAGGUAAAAAUAUACAAAACUUAUUUGAACUAAUAUUUAUUUUAAUACAACAACUUAUGUGCGUGCGCGCGUGUAAUCUUACACUCUUCGCAUCUAAGGGUUCACAAAACUCUUUUGAACUUUAGUUUAAAAAAGAAAAAAAAAAUGUUCAUAAGACUAGAAGGCGGAUACCGGACUUUGAAUAAACGUAUAUAAAUCUUACACCAAAUUUAGAGGUAUACAGAUAGCAUUGCUCUUAAAAUAUGUUUGGUUUAAAAUAUUUGAGACUUAAAAUGAGAAUCGAAAUAAACCAUUUUCAUUGUUAGUGCUUGGAUUAAAGGAUUGAAUUUCGAUUUUUAUUUAAGAGGAUUUAUUUGAAUCCUUCAAAAGUGACUCCCACUUCCAUUGAGUGAUUGAAAAAAAAAAAAAAAUCACUAAUAAAUUAUUUGAAUUUAAAUAUAAAUCAUAUAAAUUCAUUAGAUUAAAUUAUAACUUCAAAUUUAAAUAUGAAAUAUUAAUUUUGAAUAUAAAUUCUAAUUUUUAAAUUUUUAAUUUAUAAUUCUAAAUUUAAAUUUCGACUUGGAUCUUGAAUUUGAAUUGCAAAUUCCAAUUUUAAUUUCAAAUUGUUAUUUCAAAUUUAGAUUCAAAUUUUCAUUAAAAUUUUGAAUAACAGAUUUAAAUUUUGAUAAAAAUGUAAAUUUUUUAAUUUCAAUUUGAGCAUGAUUAUGAUUAUGAUUCCGAUUCUUUUUAUGAAACAAACAAAUUAUUGUUUUAUCAAUUCCAUUUUCGAUUUCAGCUCAUUUCCAUUCCUAUUCCCAUUUCGAUUCCUCUUCUGAAUGCCCUUAAAGUAACCAAUAAGUCAAAAUUUUGCACCAAAAAAAAAAAAAUCAUAAAAUGAUAUAAAUUAAAUAAAUUGGAAAGAAUAGAUGUGAAAAUUAAAAUUUUAAAAAGUUUAGACAAUCAGAUUAGAAUGGGCUAUAAUUAAAGAUAAGAUCAAUAAAAUUUUGUCCAAAUGGCCUUUUUAAAGAGCAAUUAGUUGUUGACCAAACCUCAGCAAUGAUUUCACUUUCCAUAAAAAUCAAAAGGAUGUGUUGACCAAGAAAGGAGGUAGCAUCCAAAUUCACCAACAAUUUAUCAAACUACUCUAUUGUGCAAUGUUGCCCAAAAGAUUAUUCCCCUACUAAGAAAUAAUUUAAAAAGAUUUUUAAUAUUCCUGAUAACUUAUCAAACUGAUAUUAAAUAAAUCAUGUCAUGUGCAUUAAGAAAAGAAAUAAUGUCAGAUGUAAUAACCAAGAUUUUUAUGUCACUAAUAGCCAACUACUCAUCCAAAAUUUAAAAAUCGGUUUUCUUUCAAAUAGUAAGGCAGUGUUUGGAUUUGGGAUAAGGGGAGGGAUAACCCCUUAUCCACCUUUAUACCCAAACGCAAAUUUUUUAUCCGAAAAUAGUAAUUUUCGGGUACCUAAAAUAAUCUGGUAUAACUAUGUCCACCAACAUCUUCAUUUUCUAUAUAUAACUAUCCACUAUUUUUCUUAUUCCAUAUUAUCUAUUCAAACGCUAUUUUUCUUAUCCUCGGAAAUAACCCAAUUUUCAUCCAAACGCUAUUUUUCUUAUCCCCAUACUUGUAUCUAUCCCUGUAAUAGCUAAUUCUUGCUUAUACCUGAACCAAACGCUAUCUUUAAUGAAUAAGAUUGAUUUACCGACCAUACUUAGUACAGAUGGCGAAAGUUUUUGAGUUCGAAUUACGCCAGACUCACAUCAUUAUUGAUUUUCUUUUAUUUAACUCAAAUCACAUCUUGGGCCUAAUAAAGUCUCAAACCUAAACAUGAGAGAGAUAGUUCUCUGCACGCUGUAACUUUUGUUGAUAUUUAUAUAUCUAGCUGAAAUAAUUCCCAAAAAAAGUAAACGAAAAAGUUAUUAAGACUAUCGACAAAAUCUAAGCAAGACUAAAUGAAUAUAAUUUGUCUACAAUAAAAUAAAACUGACUCAGUUAAUAACUUUAAAUCCUUUCCGUAUAAUAUUCCAAGUUGGUCAACAUUUGUUCUCCUCCAAGAACAAGCAACUCCUUAAUUUCAAUGUACUAGUAGAACAGUCAUAUUUAAAUAUAAACCUCCUUAGAAUCACUUACACUCAAUCAAACAAUUUCGUUGCAAAGUAGGAGAAACCGUUCACCAACAAAACCCCACCUCCUCGUACACCCCCCCCCCCCUUAUAAAAACCCCUCAACCUUAAACAUAAUUCACCACCCCAACACUCAAAAGCAAGCCAAAUUAACCAAAUAUAUAUCUCUCUUAGCUUUGUUUGUUCAAAAUGUCUCUCAAAAUGCUCGCGCUGUUCUUACCAGUUCUUGCCGCUCUGUCGGUGGUUCCGAGCGCGUCGGCGCAGUCGAGCUGCACGGCGGCGCUGGUGAGCCUGUCGCCGUGCCUGAACUACAUCACGGGGAACGAGAGUGAGCCGUCGAGCUCGUGCUGCUCGCAGCUCGCGACCGUCGUCCAGGCGGAGCCGCAGUGCCUCUGCCUGGUGCUCAACGGCAGCGCGUCCUCGAUCGGGAUCGCCGUCAACCAGACGCGCGCCCUCGGCCUCCCCGCCGCCUGCAAGGUCCAGACCCCGCCCCUCAGCAAGUGCAGCAGUAAGAACACCCCCGGGAACACUUUGAAUUGAAGUUGUCUGCGUAGUCCCUCUGCUAUCCUGAUAUUGCACUUCGAACCAUGAACUUUUCCGCAAUAUCUGGAUCAUUUUAGGGACUAUGCAUACAUUUUACCCCUUCAAUUGCUCAAACUACUAAUGUUAAAUGCAAUUUUUUUUUAAAAAAAAAAGGAAAUUCUUAUUAAAUUUUGCUAUGAAAUCUUUAACAGCAAAUGGUGCACCCACUGCUGCUCCAACCACACCAUCCACAACCACCCCAUCAACGCAAAAUGCUCCUGCAGUAAACUCUCCACCAGGUAAGAGAAUUUACUAAAUAUUAAUGAAUUAAUUACUAAUUAGAGGAUAAAUGAGGGAUUAAAUCCAAACUAUUCCCCCUUUUUCUACCCAAAAAAAGAAAAGAGAAAAAAGCUUAGGGAUGGUUAGUCUGGUCAAAAAUCUGAUUUUUCUCUCAGUUGGCCUGGAAUUUUUAAAAGAUACAACCAAGAGAAUAAGAAUAGUAAUCCUAUUUGACCUUCUCAUGGAAAAAGCUUGUCCUAAAAGUUAACAUCAGACAAGAAAACUCAGAUAUUCCAACAACAAAAAAAUCUAGAAGCAUUUGCACUAAAAUCCCUCAAGAGCUUCUCUCUACAGCAGAAUCAGAAACUACAUAUUACAGCUACUAGUUUUUGGAGUUCAAUAUCUAGUUUCAGCUUUUCACUAGAACAGCAUCUAUAGACUUUUCUAGCUGCAAAACAACUACAGUUAAAAGUAGAAACAGAAGUGCAACGAAAGAGGAAUUUACGAACAUUGAACCUCGGUGCAGGUGAAGGUGGAUCGAAGACAGUGCCGACGUCAGCCGGAAUUGCUCUUCAAACCCCGGCCCCUUUCAUCUUCUCCCUUCUCUUUGCUGCGGCAUUCGCCUCCUCGGCCUUUUAGACCUGCUUCUUGUUCAGCUGUUCUUAGGAGAUACUGUGACAUGUUAGAUGCAUCAUUUUGAUUCAUUUGGAUGUAUGGAUUACAUCCUAUGUUUAUGUUUGCUUUUGUGAGUGUGCUUUAUUUUUGAGCUUAUUUCAUUUGUACUACAUUACUUAUAGAUAAUAUUUCUUUUCCUUCAAUAAUAAAUCAACACAGUUUACACUUACAAAGACAUUUCAAAAGAAAUCAUGUAUCAGGAAACCAUAAUAAGCAGGUAAACAAAAGAUUACUGCAGUACGGAAAAAAAGAAGAAAAAGAAAGGUGCCGUAAAUGAUUAAUUAACUGUGAUUAGUAACAGCCAAAAUGCAAACAAUAAUUUCUUCUGAAAACUUAUUUUAAAGAUCAACAACAUGUAUGGAAAACUUCAAAAAGCCCCCUUGUAGCCUAAUGCAUUUGCAGUGUAUGACCUUGCAAUUUACAGCUUCGCACUUUGCCACUAAAAUAAUAACUUUAGCUAAAUUUUAUGAACCACAAGAUAGCACGAUGUGACACUUUAUUAUCUUAUGAUAUGCAGUUCACCAUCCCGUAAUACAUAAAAAAAUAGUCUAUAUGGAACAAACGCAAAAGCAGCAAACCAAUAUAGAACUACCGAUUUGAAACACGGAAUAGUAAACUGCAAAUGUGCUGAUUACAGAGGGCCAUCCACAAGUUCGUCAGCGUGCCAUAUCAUUCAUAUAAGUCACUUAAGUAUGAUGGCAAAAUUCUAUCAAAGUAUAAAUGAGGGAAUUUAUGCCUAAGCAAUCAGCUAGUCAUGAAGCUAACUUUCGCAUCAGGAAAUGAGAAAAUCCCCUAGCAUUCUUAUCAUGUACAGGGAUAUGUGAGCAUCGACAGUGAAAUAGAUCAAACUAUGCGCUUCAAAAUUCAUUAGCUUCAAAUCAUUCAUGGCAAGUAAAAUAAGAUGUAGAAUAACAGAUAAAUAAUCAAAAAAAGAAAUAAUAGAAUCAUCAACAUCAUACCAGUAAAAGUUGAUAUUUGCGAAAUUCUUUGCUAUUCAGAACAAGACAUCUAUUAAAGUUUCCUCAGAAACUAAAACCAUGAAACAUGAGGACACCAAAUGCAUAAAUAUUGAAGUUUACAGGACAGUUAUAUUUUCGCCAAUCAAUAUAUUUUCGCAUCACUAAAUGAAAGACAAGAAGGAAUGUUUACAGAAGAAAGUUUCUCUGAAAGAAAGCAUGCUUGUUUACAAACAGUCCAGAUGUUCCGUUCUGUAUGAAUUCGCAUCCCUACAUUCAUUUGAAUCUAUUGAAAAGUCCGUUCAUAAGAAGACAGAAAUUAAGUUAAACCAGAUCAAACACUUUUAACUUAAUCACUCUUGAUGGAUUUACGCCAAGCGUACUCUCUCGCGCCGUCCUUGUCAACAAUCUUUAUCACGAAGUUCGGUGGGGCGAUGACCAACCUAGAUCGGAUUUCCAUUAUGCACUUGUCAACCAAAUCGAUAGCCUCUUCUAGAGACAUACCACUGUGGUAGUGCCGGUCCAUCAUCGACAAGCAAAAGUAGGAGCCGUAGCCGAAUGCACCCUUCUCGAUCUUGUGGAGUGUUGCUAUGUAGUCAAUGUAGUAGAGAGACGGGCCAAUGUCCUUAUCAUAGCCCGCCAAUAAAAUAUUGACAGAAUACGGAUUCUGCCAAAACAAAGCAUGAAAUCAUCAACCCUCAAAUAACUCAACUGAAAUAGCAUAAGAUUGAAAAUAUAACAAAAACACACAUAAAGUAUAAAACCAAAUAAGUUGUGACAACUGCUAGCAAAAGAGAGAAUUUUGGGGUUAAAAAGUUCUGUGCUCCAGGGGUUAAUCACUAUAAAUGCCAUGACUAAAUCAAACAGAAAGAAUAAGAUUUCUGUGUGGACAGACGCCAUCUACUGCCUUCUUUUUUACUAUCAAGCGAAACUUAAUGAGUUUCAUACCAACUUUCAUUUAAAACCACAAGUAACAACUAGAAAUAAAACUGUAGCGGAUAAAGUCAAUAGUUAGCAUUGUAUCUCGAGAGGUAUAGUAUUAUGUAGACAUCAGAUCCAAUAGAUGGAAGCCAGAGAAAAUAAUUUUCUCAAACAGAACUUAUAGCGGAGUUACAGAGAAGCAAGAAUAUAUCAGUUGCCAUAACUAAUAGAAUUUUGAUAGGUAAUUUGUUAGUACAACACAAAAUUAUGGACUGACAAAGGGCACUAGAAAAAAAGUAGUGCCACAAAAUUUGAAGAUUAUCAGGAAAAACAAAUCAAAAUAAUUCCAGUUCAACACCUUCAACUCAGGAAUAAUAAUACCAACAUGAUUCAAGUAUUGACGACGGUAAACAACUUUAUUAAAUAGGACCAAGUAUGACUUGUACAGUUCCCAGUACCUCUGGAAAAUCUGUUAUUCUCAUGUAGCUAAAUUGAGCUUAGUUGACUCUAUGGUGAGAUUUUGUCAAAAAUCACUUAAAUAAUGAAAAGGAAAUGUACUAUGACAAUAGUGAUAAUACUCAGAUAGUAAGUAGAAUCUAACAAAAGAGUAAAAAGAAUCAAAUCAUAUACUGGGCCUUGCUGUAAGGUCAAGUUAUUUCAACGCCAUCGGUACAAUAGUUGGUGUUCAGUAGGGUCUUCCGUAGGCUACUCCUAGAGAAAAUGUUUGACAAACUAGAACUUAAUAAUAAAAUAGCAUACAGCAUAAAAAAGUCAAUAGUAACAAAUCACAUGAUAAGCAAGUAAUAGAUAUGUGCUAAUCUAGAAUCAGCACAAAAGGGAAUGGUAGAUGCCAAGUACUGAAAAUGUUAAUUCUUGAUGAAACGAGCUAUGUGACCUGAGACAACUACAAGAACUACACAAUACACACACUAUCCUAGAAAAUCACAAGUGGGCCUCCAAUAUUCGAAAUGGCAACUAGCUCAAUCUUUUACCAGUUGAAAACAACUCAUUAUCAAUUAUUAAGGACCAGAAAGAUUACCUACGAUGCAGGCAAAAAUGUUAACAUGAAAUUUGUGCCUCAAACCAAAAACUCAAAUAUUAUCUAAAUAUCAAACAAAUGCAACUCUAAUGAAAGUUACAGGAGAAAGUAAUACGCAUUGCGUACAACAAUACACAGGCUAAGUGAUGGUUGAAAGGAAAAUUAUGAAUCUAGAAGUUACUAUGACCAACACAUGAAAUUACUUGUGUUUCUCAUCCCAAUGAAAAGUGUGAAUGAUCCUCCCAUCCAGAAUACUAAUUAACAAUGACCGAUGUGAUAAUGUCGUUCAAGAAUCAAUGCUCCAUAACUGAUAAGCUAUAAUAGAAGCAAUAAGAGUCUAGAUGAUUAGUUGCCAGAUCAAAAAGAUCUCAUUUUCCCCUUAAACCACAAAGAAACUAAACAUAUACUAAUACCCUGCCUCACUGUGUGAUAUCUUUCACUCUAGUAUUUUCUCUAUUAACACAAGACGAAUAUUAGGUUGGAAAAAAAUCCCUAAAACUCAAACAAUACAAGCACUUUAGAAGAAGCUAAAAAGAGCGAUUCAAGAUUGAAACCCUAGAUCUCAAAAUCAAACCACUCAAGCGGUUCACCAAAUUUGAUCUACGCAAACAUAAAUGGUACAAUUCCUAACUCAAGAUUAAAACCCUAGAUAUUCAAGAUCAAUCAAAAGAAUAUCAAAUUGCCUCAAAAAUAACAAAUUCCACACAAAUCGUGGGGCCAGAGAUUCCAAAUUCAACAUUCCCAAGCAAUGCAGCAAAGUUGAUCUACAGAAACAUAAAAGCAACAACCAUUUUAAAUUUCCGCCACUCCUACCUUAAGAUCAAUACUCUAGAAAUUCAAGAUCAAUCAAAAGAACAGCAAAUUGCCUCAAAAAUGCCUAAUCCCACAGAAACCGUGGGGGCUAAACCACAAUUCUCGAAACAGAUCGCAAUCAAACCGGAAAAAAAAAAAAGGAAAAAAAGAAACUACCUUUCGGAGGGCAGUGGCGAGCUCGCCGCGGGUGAAGUUGGCGGCGGCGGCGGUGGUGAGGGGGAUGCCGUUGCGGAACUGGUAGAGGUGGACGUUCUUCUGGAUGUACUCCGUAAACUGCGCCCUGCGACCAAUCGCAUCGAGAUCGAGAUCGAGAUCGAGAGAUCGAGAUCAAACACAAAAGAGAGACGAAGAUGACGAUGAUGAUGAUGAUGAUGAUGAUGAUGAUCGGGUUAGGGUUAGGGUUAGGGUUAGGGUUAGGGUUUAAGGGGAACGAACCGGUCACCGGCCUCGCCGGAGGCGCCGAGGAGCUUGUGGGAGUCGAGGAGCAUGACCUUGUCCUCGUCGGACUUGUGGACGAGGAUGCUGUGCACCGCGGAGCUGUCGGCUGCGACCACGGCGAAUCCGUCGCCCACGAGGCCGAAGACGCACUCCAUUGCUGGAGCUUCGCGAGAUCGAGAGGAGGAGGAGGAGGAGGAGAGGGAGAAGGUGAGCGAGAAGGGAGUAGGGUUUCGCUCUAUUUGAAGAGAAAGUAUACACACACAACACAAGGCCUACUUUGGCUACAAGAAAAGGCUCGGGUAAAUUUGUAUAAAGACACCUCAACUACGAGCUAUUUAUAAAAUCGGCCCCUUUCAAAAAUUUUUGGAAUUAAAUAAUUUUAAUUUUUUAAAAUUUAAGAAUUUUAAUUAAUAAUUCUAAAUCUAAAUUAAAAACCCUAUUGCAUCAGCCAUAAUUAGUGUAAAUCAUUAGAAGGUAAAAAUUAGUUUAUUUAGCAACUAGUUUAUCUUGACCUCAAAAAAAACUUUUAAGGGUUUUUUUAUUUUUGUGUGGAUGCNUUGGUACUAUCAAUAAUAUAGUAGUCGAACUCUCUCUCUCUCUCUAUAUGUAUAGUCCUACUAUUAUACUCUUAUCAGUAUAGACCCUUUUAUACUCACAAGUUUUCGGCCGUUAGAUCUACCCCCUUGACUAUUUUAACCCAUUAGAUCAUAUUGUGCAACCAACCAUCCACUCAACUCUAGGGAACUACUAUUAUUAUAUAUAUAUAUAUAUAUAUAGAGUCCGGCUACUAUACUAUCGGUAGCACGGAACGCUCCGUGCUACCAAAUUGUUUUCGAUGAUGCGGUUUUCAAAUUGACGAUCGGCUCCGUUAGACUUGAUCUACACUAUUGAAAGUGUUUGAAAGCUAAAUUUCAAAUUUUUUCGACAUUAUUUGACUAGUGAUCAAACGAUCUCAAAAUUGAUAAUUUUAAUAGCCGAUGUGGUGUGUUUGAGAGUUUAACGGUAUAAAACAAUCUAAAUCCGAUGAAAAUUUUAUAAAAAAUUCUUUUCACUAUUUAGAGUAAGAUCAGUAUAUCUGAUCUUGAAUUUAAUCUGUUAUCAUUAUUUUUUAUGAGAUUUUUAUAUUCAGCCGUUCAAUUUUAGACUACUUGUUUGAUAAGUAAAUGGUAUCGAAAAAUUAUGAAAUUUAGUUUCUAAAUACUUUUAAUAGUGUAGAUGAAGUCUAACGGAGCCGAUCAUCGAUUUGGAAGUCGCAUCAUCGAAAACAACUUGGUAGCACGGAGCGCUCUGUGCUACCGAUAGUAUAGUAGCCUAGCUCUCUCUCUCUCUCUCUCUCUCUCUCUCUCUCUAUAUAUAUAUAUAUAUAUAUAUAGUUCGGCUAUGGUGCUUGUAAAUGUACCAACUACUUGGUACUUGUAAGUUUUUACCGUUAGAUCUACGUCUUUGAUCAUUUUUAACCAUUAGAUUAUACUAUUUAACCAACUACCCACUGAACCCUAGGGGGCCCACAUCAUCCUCACCGUACAUCCCUUAAUCCAAGGACCGAAAACUUAUAAGUACCAAUGACUUGGUACUUUUAAAAAUAUAGAAGCUCAAUUUUAUAUAUAUAUAUAUAUAUAUAUAUAGUGAGGUUACUAUGCUAUCGGAAGCACGGAGCCUUCCGUGCCUUCCGUGCUUCUAGCUCGUUUUCGAUGUUGCGACUUUCGAAUCGUCGAUCGGCUCCGUUAAACUUGAUAUAGAGUAUUUGGAGUACUUAGAAAAUAAAUUUUAUUAUUUUUCGAUGUCAUUUGCCUAGUGAUCGAAUGGGCUCAAAAUCAAUAAAUUUCAAUGGCCGUAGUGAGCGUUUGCAAGUUUAACGGUGUAGAAAUAUCCAAAUCACGUGAAAUUUUGAUAGAAAAUUUUUUAUACUAUAUAAAACAAGAUCAAUAUCUUUGAUUUAAAAUUUUAAUGUCAUAUUAUUAUAUUUUGUAAGAUUUUUAUUUUCAGCCGUUGAUUUUGAGCCCCUUCGUUCACUAGGCAAAUGAUAUCGUAAAAUNNUCUCUCUCUCCCUCUAUAUAUAUAUAUAUAUAUAUAUAUAUAUAUAUAUAUAUAUAAACUUAUGCAAGAAUCUUAUAGUAAUUGGACAUGGAAAAUAUAAUAAGAUAUAGAUAAUGGCUUUGGGCAUAUAUUUAGUUUGGAAAAUACUCAAAAACAUAAGAAUCAUAAACACCAAAUUAAAGCUUAAAUUGUUGAAAAAGCAAAUUGAAAAAGGAGCUUCAAGAUUUAUCAAAAACUAAAAAAAAUGACUAAAUUACAAAAAAAUCUCCUAUAAAUAUCUAUUUUCUCACUUUUUCUUCGUGACUUUCAAAAGUCUAUAUUUUACCUGCUUAAAAUUUCAGAAAUAUUUUCAAAAAAAUGCGGCAUUACUAAACAGGACAAAAUGAUCAAAUUAUCCUCACUAUUUCUAUUAAAAAAAUUUAAUAUAUUUUUAUAUUUUGAAGGACAUUUUUAAUAUAAAUUAUAAUAAAUAAACGGAAUAAUAAUAAAACCCUAAAAGACUAAAUACAAUAAUUUAAAAUUUUAAAAAGAUAAAAUACAAAAUUUCAAAAAUUAUAAAAAAAAUAAAAAAUUCAUAAAAAAAUUUUCUAUAAUUUAAAAACUGCAAAGAACACUUAUCUCAAAAAAAAAAAAAAAAAAAAAAAAAAAAAAAAAAAAAAAAAAAAAAAAAUAGAUAAAUAAAUUGAAGAACAAUGUAAAGCUAGAUCUUAGGAGAGCAAUUGACUAUAUAUACAAAAAAGCUCUUGCAAUACAUUUCCAGUACACUCUCCAGUACAGUUCACAACUCACAACUCACACAACUCCUGCAACUUGCAUGCAUGCUGCUACUUAUUUAAAGCCUAACUACAGGAAACUGGGAGUCCACUGAACCAGCUCAGAAACUGGUUGAGCCGCGACCGCGACCGCCGCCGCCGCCACGUUGGUUCGGUCCAGGGAAAAAGGCCGACUCUUGCUGCGCGUUGAAGACCUCGUCCACUUCUCUCGCUGCCACGUCGAAUGCGAGCUCCUUAGCCUCCUUCUCCAUCUUCUUUAGUAUAUUAUUUCUCCCUGCGCGAAACCAAGUUCAGGAACAUCUGAUUCAAUAUAACCAACCAACGAAGCUACAAUUCGCAUGUUGAAAAUCAAUAUCGAAAUCAAUACCGAAACAUAUAGUUUUAGUUAGAAGUUCUAAGAUCUUCGUAUAAUUCUUGAACCAAAAAUGAAACCCAAAUAUUGGUUUACAUUUAGUUAGUUCAAUAUUGUGCAGGACAAUUAUACAUGCAAAUUAUGUUCUUUUUUUUUUAUUCCCGUUUAGGCCCCAAGGACCUGGUCAACCUAUACAAUCUUACCAAGCGAUGUAAGAUUUAUCUCACACUAUUGUUUAAUGAACUAAUUCCGAUAACAAAUGUAACGAUUCGACCCACUAAUAGUAAUAAUCUGUUGUUCCUAAACCACCAGCCAAAAAUACUUAAGUCCAGUUAUUACUAAGGGCACGUUUGGUUCGAGUUAUGUAAUAUUAUAGAGUAUUUCGAUAUAUUCAUAUAUCUUGGAUUUCUAAAUAAAAUUACUACUGAUACUGCAUUAGCGCGUUUAGUUUAAUACAGUAAUAUAAUACUGGAUUGCAGUGUUUAUAGCAUUAUUGAUUUGUCACAUAUCAUGAGUGUCUUACUAUACAUUUUCUCUCAU
This 47266-nucleotide long non-coding RNA is filed under the name Ananas comosus (pineapple). RNAcentral's name for it is "long non-coding RNA (ACOM_LNC014544)". The record is from RNAcentral. Lineage: Eukaryota; Viridiplantae; Streptophyta; Magnoliopsida; Poales; Bromeliaceae.